GAUUUCUUCGCUUGUUCCAGAACGUCUCUAACGCUAACCGGCCGGAUUCUUUUGACACUUGGGACGGAUGAUCCUGCAAAAGGAGUGUGCAAGGCAGGGUUCCCCACGUACGAUGAUGAGGACCUCUCUCGUCGAUCGAUCCGUGCGGAAAAUCAGCGAGAGAAACGUACACAAGAUUGUCGACCGAUCGUGCUCGAGUAGGUGGUAGGUGGUAGUACGUACGAGAGCUACCGUAUUAGGUGUAUGGAGUAGGCAGCUGCGUGAGAUCGAGCAGGUAUUUUUGUAUGAAGGUAGGUGUGGAUCAGAUGCUUUUCCAGCCUAGCGAAGAGCAAGUUUAUUCAGGUAUAUUCAGGUUUCCACGUGCACACUCCAAUAACAACUACUCCCUCUAUUUCAAUUUAUAGAUUGUUUUGAUUUUUUAGGUUCAUAAAUAUUAUUAGGUUACGGCCGUUUUGGUGAAAGUUUUUUUAGAUAACAAAAAAGUUUCGACUUCAGAACCGAGCAUUAGACGCAGUUAUUACAAACACACCUAAAGUUUACACCACACCGCAGUUAUUACACACACCUAAAGUUUACACCACACUGUGUUUAACAUUAUUGACUGGUACGCAGAGUGAAAGACCAUCCAUGGGAUGAAAAAAAAAUACAUAGCUCUAGACUCUAAAACCUAGCAAGCCUUGAUGAGCCGCUCCUUUGGAUCGUCAGUGCGCUGCAACAAUGCCUAGAACUGAAGCCAAUGUGUCCCCUGAAUAGCAUGUGCAAACAAGUUUUUGUCUACCAAUAUUAAACACAGUAUCGUUCCUUGUGAGCCAAAUUGCCCAACAAAUAUAUGCAGCGCCUGUCAAUAACAAAACAUUAUGGUCUCGUCCCCCUUGUUUAUGCCAAUUAUUAAACACAUGAUCUGUGUUUCCUAACACAAUGUGUACCCAAUUUUUUUUUUGCAUAAUGACAUUCAAAAAAUAAGUGCGGGAUAGUUUCUAGCUUACUAAAAAAACAAUAAGCCUUACUCCCAUUCCAAUUUCUCCUAGCUAGAUUAUCUUUCGUAAAGAUCACUCCUCUUUUGAAAUACCACAUAAAUAUUUUUAUUUUUCAAAGGAAUCUUCGUAUGCCAAAUUUCUUGUGUAACUUGGACUCCGUUAUUUAACUAGGUGCCUAUACAUGGAGUUCACCGUGAAAACUCCAUUCUUAUGUAGAUUCCACACAAUACCCUCAUUCAAAUUAAUAUGUGCUAUUCUCGCGACAAAGUUAUACCACUCAAUUAACUUAUUCCUAACUAAAGCUCUCCUAAACAAAACAUUAGCUGGGUUCAUAUCGAGCACUUCUGCCACAGUUGCUUGUUUUCUCCGCACUAUAUUAAAUAGAUUAGGGUAUUGGAAUUUUAAAACCCAGGUACCUAACCAUUUAUCCUCCUAAAAUCUGAUUUGGUUACCGUUAUUUAGCCUGAACCUUCCUAAAUAUAGGAAUUGGUCUUUUACCCCCAUCAAACUUGACAGAAGUGAGAAUCCCCAGCUCUUUUACUCACCUGGCUUAAGAUUUUAUUCUUUAGAUAUUUGUUUCUGAGCAGUUCCUGCCACAACCCCUCUUCAUUACACAGCUUAAAAAGCCAUUUGCUUAGAAGGCAUGUCAUGUAUUCCUAAUCCCCCUUGUUCUUUUGGCUGGCUCAUUAUAUUCCAUCUUACUAAUCUAUAUCUCUUUUUUAUGUCCAAGUCAUGUAUUCCUAAUCCCCCUUGUUCUUCUGGCUGGCUCAUUAUAUUCCAUCUUACUAAUCUAUAUCUCUUUUUAUGUUGGUCAUUUUGCCAAAAAAACCUUGAAUUAUAGUAUUCAAUUUUCUUAAGGACUCCUCUUAGGACUAAAAAAAGAGCAUGAACAUAGGUAGAUUAGAGAGAACCAAGUUUAUUAGCACUAGACAUCCUCCUAUGUACAGGAGUUUUCCCUUCCAACCACUUAACCUUUUCUCUAUUAUAUAUUUUUAUUUUCAGAGGAAUCUUCCUAUGCCAAAUUUCUUGUGUAACUUGGACUCCGUUAUUAACUAGGUGCCUAUACAUGGAGUUCACCGUGAAAACUCCAUUCUUAUGUAGAUUCCACACAAUACCCUCAUUCAAAUUAAUAUGUGCUAUUCUCGUGACAAGGUUAUACCACUCAAUUAACUUAUUCCUAACUAAAGCUCUCCUAAACGAAACAUUACCUGGGUUCAUACCGAGCACUUCUGCCACAAUUGCGUGUUUUCUUUGCACUAUGGGGGUGUUUGGAUCCUUGAGCUAAAGUUUAGUCCGUGUCACAUCGAAUAUUCGGAUACUAAUUAGGAGGACUAAACGUGAGCUAAUUACAAAACUAAUUGCGGAACCCCUAGGCUAAAUCGCGAGACGAAUCUAUUAAGCCUAAUUAAUCCAUCAUUAGCGAAUGUUUACUGUAGCACCAUAUUGUCAAAUCAUGGACUAAUUAGACUUAAUGGAUUCGUCUCGCGAUUUAGCCUAGGGGUUGUGAAAUUGGUUUUGUAAUUAGCCUAUGUUUAAUACUCCUAAUUAGUGUCCAAACAUUCGAUGUGACAGGGGCUAAAGUUUAGCCCGGGGCUCCAAACACCCCCUAUAUUAAAUAGAUUAGGGUAUUGGAAUUUUAAAACCCGGGUACCUAACCAUUUAUCCUCAUGAUUUGGUUACCGUUAUUUAGCCUGAACCUUCCUAGAUAUAGGAAUUGGUCUUUUACCCCCAUCGAGCUUGACAGAAGUGAGAAUCCCAGCUCUUUUACUCACCUGGCUUAAGGUUUUAUUCUUUAGAUAUUUAUUUCUGAGCAGUUCCUGCCACAACCCCUCUUCGUUACACAGCUUAAAAAGUCAUUUGCUUAGAAAGCAUUUGUUUUGUAUGUCCAAGUCCUGUAUUCCUAAUCCCCCUUGUUCUUUUAGCUGGCUCAUUAUAUUCCAUCUUACUAAACUAUAUCUCUUUUUAUGUUGGUCAUUUUGCUAAAAAAAACCUUGACUUAUAGUAUUCAAUUUUCUUAAGGACCCCUCUUGGGACUAAAAAAAGAGCAUGAACAUAGGUAGAUCAAAGAGAACCAAGUUUAUUAGCACUAGACGUCCUCCUAUGUACAGGAGUUUUCCCUUCCAACCACUUAACCUUUUCUCUAUUAUAUCCUCUACUUCCUUCCGGUCUUUGUUUCCUAGCUUUCUAUAAUGCAUUGGGAUCCUAAAUAGCGAAAAGGGUAAGAGCCUAAUUUACACCCGAAAAAGCUGUAAUACUGAGAUUCAUAGGCUUUUGCUUGCCAAAGAAAAAGAUUUCGUUUUUGUGAAAGUUAAUUUUGGUGAACUAGGCCGCCGAGGCACGCAGGUGGCGCUGCCCGGCUGAUCAAGUCGGCCGGCAUUGCAUUUUCGUCUGUGAAAAUAGCUACACGUACUUAAAAGGUUUGACUUGGGAUAAAUUUAGAAUAACUUGUUUUUUUUUGACAGAGCGAGGGAACUGUACAAGCAAGUUGUACGACCAGUACCAUCAUCAGUUCAGUCUUCGGUGCGAUCGUAUACUCGUAUCAGUUCAGUCACGCGCGCACCCGAUUUUGCGCAAUGGACCUGACCACGGCCCGCCCGCACAACGCGAAUGGCGGGCCAUUUUGGUCGAGGUGGGACGUUCUGGCCCAACCCCAACAAUCCAUCCAUACAUAGCCAGCCGACAAGGAUGGAGGAGGGGACCAGUUUUCUGUUCUUUUGAAGGAAGGAGGAGUUGGGUGGUUGCAGGCCGAGCAAUCAUAUUGGGCCAGAAGACAAGGGGAUGUACGAUCCCUUGGAGGCCCAAACGAGGUCUUUUCCCGUCAUUUGUUUAUUUCUUCGAAGGAAUGGCUCUGAGAAAUACAGGGCCGAGCUUCGCCUCCUCCAAAACUGACUUCGGAGGAAGCUGAAGCCCUUUUGAAAAAUUAUUUGGCAAAACGGCUCUUCCAUGUAAUUUAAAAUGGUUAGAUAAGAUGAAAUACCCAUAAUACCCUUCCUUUUUCUUUUCUUCCUAUUUCUUUAUUGUAUUUCUUUUCUCUUCUUUCAGCCUCCCACCGUCGGGCUCCCAUUCUCUCUCUUCCCAUCCCUAUCCAUCUCCCAGCCCCCGCCGCCCGCAUCCCGGUCUCCCGCCGCUAGCCCACCCCCACCGCCCGCGGCCGGCCCCCACCUCCCGCCGUCGCCGUCGUCCACCUCCCGGCCGCCUCCGCCCCCACCUCCCGGCCGUCUCCGCCCUCACCCCCAUCUCCGCCUGCCUGCUACCGCCUCCGCCUGCCUGCGGGCCCUCCCCCAAGGGUACGGGUGGGAAACGAGGAGGAGGAGCUGCGGGAGCCUAUUUUUUUGGCUCCGCCUCCCCGGAACGGCUCCUGAGAACGGAAUUCGUGGGGUGAAGCCGCCGGAGCCCUUUCAAGGAGCCGCUCCCAGAGCACCGCCAAAUGGGGCCAUAUCCAUGCCUUGCUACUUACCAACGACAGAGAGGACCGAGCUCGGCUACAAUUCGGCCGCCUCACUCGCGGAAGAGACAAUGAAAUGACACUGUUCUGAGAACCGCGCAUAGCGCGGUUGGCAACGGCGCCAGGUGUGCGCCCACGCCUGCCCGCAUUCGAGCCUUGGCUCCCGCAGGUGCUCACUGGGGUUUUCCCCAAAAUAGUUUGUUGCCUCUUAUCGAUGUUUAGACCCGGCAACCUACCGAGGUGGGUGCUCGAGAUAGUGUUUGGGGCUUGUCGAGAUCAGGAACUCAAAGAUAAACGUAAAGACACGAUUUAGACAGGUUCGGGUCGCUAGAUUGCAUAAUACCCUACGUCAUGUGCGUUGGUUGGAUUGAAUUGCUUUGGAGGGGGUCCGUGCCUUGUCUUAUAUUGCUGGGGGUAGGGUUACAGGUUGGUUGAUUUACAAGAAUACUAGUCGGAUUCGACUAUACGAGUUCUACUCCUAUUGCUAAGAGUACUUUUCCUAAUCCUCGAUAAGUUCCUGUCUAGCCACGUAGACUACGCCGUCCUGCACCAUAAUCUCCAUGUCAUAUACUUCUCGAUAUCUAGCCCCAAUCCUCGACUAGUUCCUGUCUAGCCAUGUAGACUACGCCGUCCUGCACCAUAAUCUCCAUGUCAUAUACGUCUCGAUAUCUAGCCCCAUGUUUAGGACUGUCCAAAACUUCUGGUGGGUCCAUAAAUGUAUGUACAACACCUCUCACACGUGAAGCCACAAUGGGAUUGCGACGUCCCCAUCGCCUACGGACUCAUGAUGACUCCGGUGAUCUCAAGGACACAGGGUGGGUGUGCAUGCAUGUGUGAACAGAUACUAUACGAGGGGUUUAAAAAAAAAGAUGGCACUGUUCUUCAUAGACGACGAUCCAUCCAGGGCGUAUGCACACACAUAGGUUAUAUGCGCGCAAUGAUCCAUUCACAAAGCUUAAUUUAUCCCCCUAACCCUAAUAUAAAGAACGCUUGCGCUGCGUUUUCUGACUUAAUCGGAAGAUUAAAAAAAUGCCAAGUUGCUUCGGUACUUUAAUGGAAGCUGGAUUCUAGUCGACGGCCCGGGAGCAGAAUCUUCUGCUUCAUAUCAUACAAAACUGAGCUUGACCCAGCGCUACCACGCUAUUCGCUGCUGCUCUCAGUUUUUAUUCAGGAUGGCGUACCGGUGAUCUUGGACGUCUCGCAGCAAACGCCGGCCAAUAUAUAGUAGUGGGGCUCACUCUAGUACUUCAAUAGACAGAUCCCUGAUGCACAAGAUAGCCGGAUAAUUAGUUGGAGAGAAGCACUCAAUUUUCUGAUUCUGAAGUCACACAACGGGCCAGUGAUGAUAUAAACUCAGAUGUUCUCUUAGCUUUGGAAUACUGAACCGUUGACGAUUUACGGGGCUUUACAGUUGCCUUUCUCGGUUGUUAUAGGGUGUGUACCAACAUGAAGGCCCGGAUCCGUUAGAGCUAAUGGUUAGCUAGGUGGAGGCAGCUAGUUGUUACCUGACUAGCUAAGAGUUGUUAGCUGGGAAUUAUCUAGGCUUGUUUAGAUCAGCUAGAACUAAAAUUAGAUGGAUAGCUCUAACUGGGUGGAUCCAGACAUGCCCUAAGUUUUUCUAAUUGGCAACGAUAACACUUCAAUUUAAACCACAACAGAGCAUGAAACUUAAACCCUCACUCGGACUUUUAGAUUGCAAUAUUGAUCUUUACAUUUGAUAUAAAAAAAAGAAGUUGUAUAUAACCCUUUAAAUUUCAAAGUUUACUUAAUUAUGAAAACGUCAGGUGGCGAAGAACGGUGCUAGUUGGCUCUUGUGGCAAAUGUGAAAAAGAUUUUGGAGCGGCUUGACGUGGUGUUCCAACAACUUCUAAAUAGCGGCUUUUUUUGACAAAAAUGUAUCCUUGCCCUAAAUCCCCUUUCCAAUACGUGAAAGGCUAUAUAAAGAUUGUCAUGAUAAAAAUUCAUGUAUGUUCUUAGCUUAAAUUGCUUCGGUGGCUAUACUAGAAUAUUAGGCUAUGGAUGAUUCAUGGCGCUUUGUUAGUUGUCUUCCUUGGUUUGGCUGUUCUAGUGUGUGCGCAUAUGUGUAACAAAAAAGGCUUUCAAACCACAAUAUAACAUUUAUUAAAACAUCAAAUUCUUAUAGAUUGCAGACUUAUUAUACUUUACAUUUGAUAUAAAAAACAACAUGCAAUCUAUAAAUUUUGAUUUUCGUUAAAACCCCCUCAAAUUCCAACCUUUACUUAUGACAAUGAUGGGUGAUGAGGCAUGGUGUCCGUUGGCUCCUGUGGCAAAUGUGAAAAAAAAAACUUGGGAGAGGCUUGACGUGGUGUGCCAACAGCCACAAAAAUAAUGUCUUUCCUUAAAAUAUUAUUUUGUAGCUUUGUCAUAAAUCCCCUUUCCAAUAUGUGAAAGGUUGUCUGAUAAUUGCUAUGAAACUAGAGCCUGUGGUGCUUGUGAAAAAUUAAACAAAGCUAUUCUCGUGAUAUAUAUUGUGUGACGCGGCGCUCCAACAAUUGCUAAAAAGCAUCUUAGGAAAAUGUACUUCGCAACAAGUACUCUUUGCAAACUUGGAAGGUUAUCCGAUGAUCUCAACUUGCGAAUAAAAAGGCUAGAAAUACCAAACACAUGAACAAUAUCCUAGAGCUCUAUAAUUGCCGGUCACUAUAACAUAUGACAUGGUGGCAUGGGUGCUAUAAUCGACUAGGAGCAGGAAAUCUAGCACCCCUGCCUCGUAGGCGGCAUGAUAAGCCGCUCACAGAAAAAACAAACUAAACCUAAGCAACCUCUCUAAUGCAGCAAAGCGCUAGCACUACCCUUUUGCACUUGAGAAAAGGCAAAAUUUUGACGUACGCGGCGGCUGUCCGGACGGCCCAACGUACGUACAGAGGCCCGUAGCGACUUGACGUACGUGAUUUACGCUGUUAGGUUAUGAGUUUUUAAUCGCCAACUAAAAUCGCUCAUUACACCUUAAAAAAAUCACUCAUUACGUGCGGCCUAGCUGGAGCUUGGUCGGUUUCCCGGGUUUUCGUUCUUCAACGGUGCUCGGUUACGUGGACUGCAAUUGUAAAAAAUACCGGCGAGGCGAUUGAUCGUGCCUACUUAAUCUAAUCACCCAACAACGUCAUUCUCCAUCAUUCCCAUUUUUUAAGUGUGUGGUGGCUACCAAAACCGCCGAUCCCAGUGGUUUCCCGCUGGGUAGCAUGCCCUACGCGUACGCCCAAACAUCUGCACCUGCCUUGUGCCAGCCAAGUGUCACUGUGACAUGCAUUCCGAGUCCUUGCUCCUCUCACUGACAGGUGGGUCCAGUGAACACGUGGAAUCUCCAAGGCCUGGCCGUCAGUGCGAAGGGUUGUGCGAGUAGUCGGUCGGAAACGUAGUUGGACUGGUUCUUUUCUUACUCGAAAUGGUGUCCAAGGUUAUAAAAAGGGCGCCAAGUGGUGGCAUCCACCGUUGAUAGUUGGGCAGCAGCUUAUAUAUUCAGGAAAACCUCUGUACUCGCCCAUUGGUUGCGGCUUGCGUCACUGCCUCGCAAGUAGGUGAUAUAUCUUAUUCUUUGCUCCAAUGAUUGUUUAAGGCGUUUCUUGGGAGCAAUCUUGUCCUUUUGAAUCUGGAAGAAUCCAUCAUUCCUAAUGGAUCUGUCCAAAGCAAUUUAAUGCAUAAUGCAGCUAGCAGCUUGAGAUGAUGAUGAUAGCAGCAUGCCAGUGACAGCUCCAUGUAAGUUCGUCAGUUAUUCUCAGGGGUCCCAGCAGCACCAUGAAUGAUUCCUGAACCAGACCUUCUCUGAAUGUUAUUCAAGCACAAUUUCCUAUUAUAGAAACAGUGGGGCUAAUUGUAGUAAAGUUCAGUUCUGCGACCCGCGCGCCCUUCGCCCCGCCCCGCCCCGCCCGGCCCGGCGAGGCGAGGCGAGCGAGCGCGCACGUGUGGAGCUUUCCUUCCCUCCCACACACAUAGCUUGGAGGAGUGGAGACAACUUCCAUAUUUAAGUUGGUCAUCUCUCCCCUCCACUAGCAAUGUGGGACUAAAGAUUUGCACUCCACCUCUUGCCCACAUGGGCCUUUGAGAUUUAAUUGAAAUUCUGAAAUUACUAAUGGGCUAGGCCCAUUAUUUCAACAGCAACUUGGCACACCAUGUUUUCAGAUUGUAGAAGUCGCGGAAACCAUGAUUUGACUUGUUAAUUGCUACAUUAGCAAGUCAAGUUGCACUCCAAGCUAGCAUUUAAAAUGCGUAUGAUUGGAGCUAGUUAAUAAUAGAAAUACUACUCCGGCUAGCUCCAAACAGGCAGAGCCAGCAGCGGUUGAAAUAAUGCUCAGACCACUGAAUCUUGCAGCGAUCCAGACGUCCGAAAAUUUUCGUUCUGGUGUGGAAGUACUCAAGCCACGAACUAAACCCGUGUUGAGGUAGCCGGAAACAGAGAUUAAAGAAUGAUCUAUCUGUGACGCAGGCAUGGCGGUCCAGUCAGGGUUCACCGUACGCGAUCGGCACCAGAAAUGGCACGCUCAUCAGCAUGCGCGCGGCGUAGUGGCCGGCAUUAUAUAGGAUCAUGUUGCUGGUGAUAACUGAUAAGCUGUCAACUGGGAACAAUGCCGUGAUGACUCAGCUACAGCUUGGAUUCGAGGCAGACGGUUCCGCGGCGUAGUAGCUCUCACAAAGUUUUAUCAUCUAUAGCAUGCACUAUCUCAGGUGCAAAUAUUAGAUAAACUAGCCCGAAAGAGAACCGAACUUAGGAUCAGCAAAUCAGGUAUAUACCUAAGAUUUGCUGUCCUAACUCCUAACAGAGGAUCAGCAAGCACUAAGACAUUCUAUAACAGGGAAAGCUAAACCUUCUCCCCGCUUUGACAGACGAGCUUUUCUCUUCUCACUCUUCAUGUGUGAGUGAUAUGCUUUAGAGACAACAAAUAACUAUUGGGGCUCAUAGAUUUGGAUUUUGUGUGGACAGUGCUAUGCAAGAUUAUUUACUAAUAGGCCUAUAAUGUGGCAGAUGGCCGGAGGAGGACGGCGAGGGGGCGGUGUCGGUCGGCGAUGGCAAAGAAGCAUUGGGGGCUAAACAAAACGAGAAUGGCAGGAGGUGGUAGGAGGAAGAACUGUUAGAUUGGUGAUCAACGUGUGGUUCAACAAAUUCAAGGGCUAAGAUGCCUUAUAAUGUCAGACUAGUAGUAUUUCUAGUUUUCUACGAUUGGGCAAUGAAUGUACUAGGUUAUAUAUACAGAUACCAAACCUAUAUCGUCCUAGAGGCUAGCUAGCUGCAGCACCUCCGUCGUCCAACCCAAAGUUGGAGGUCGUCGUCUACUUUUCAGAAUAUUUUCAGAAUAAGCAGCAACAGCCUGUUCAGAAUAUGUUCGUCGUCUGCUUUUCGAUCCAAUCAUCUUUGAUCCUCUAGUCAACCGUCCAUCGUCCAUCACUCGCGCCGAAUCGCUGGUUCCAGAACGCACGCAACUUGUAGCCGCGUCUCCUGCUUUCUUGCACUGCUUGCUCCUGUUGCCUCUCAAAUCUGAACACGCUGGAAGCUAGCCUCUCUAAUGUUCUUAAAAUAGCUGACGACUAACAACCCCGUCCAUUGUCACCACCAACCUCUCUAAUAGCUGACGAGACGGGGGGCAAUCGUUAGCUCCUAAGUCUUAUCGAUCGAUCAAGUUAAUUUCCGCCUUGUUACUUGUUGACCCGAACCACUAACCUCACUCAGUCGCUCCGAUUGGAUGGAAGAACGACAAGCACAACACCAAUACCUACUACUCAAGCUCGAUCGAUCACCUGGCCUCCCGUUAGUCGUCUGACGAUCGAGGAAAAGAAAAUGUCACGGGAAACGUAUGGAGCUCCAGCUCCAUGCAUGGCCGUAGCUUUCCAAAGCUUUUACUUCCUCGCAGCGCAGCUAGCUUUCCGGCGAGCGCGAAACCUCAUAACCCCGCUGAAAGCGACCGGCCGGGCCGGCGGGCGACGAUCUCCACCACUGGCGUCACCACCACCCACCCACCAAGGCCUGGGACCCGGGGCACCGGCGAGUGGCGGCGCUCCACGCGGCGGGCAGCGAGAGGCCGGUGGCGCGUUCCUUGUCGCCUUCCCCGCGCGCGGGCGGAGGCCCACCACGCCCUGGGCUUACCAGGAAUCUCCCCACCGCGGAGGGAGAUUCAGUCGCGCUCACUGACACGCGGGGCGGGAUUCCGUGGGCCGCCGUCCCUGUCGGUGGGGGCGCGUGGGGGCCACGCUCCGGUGCCCACCCGGUUUCUUUACUCGGGUCGGGCGGGGGGCGCGUGAACGGCACGGGAAAAAGGUGGAACGGCCUGUUCAGCCGAGCCGAGCCGAAACGGGAGGCUUGUGGUGUGUAGCCCUUGAGCGGCUCGGCCAAUGGGGAGAGGAACUGCAUGCGUCCAAUCAGGCCUUUGAGGGUCUGUUUGGUUGGAAUAUUAGCUGUGAAAAAUAUCUGCGAAAAAGAUGCAGCGGGCUGUGAGCUGAUGCUGUGGGUAUGAGAUGCGAAAAGGCUAAAAGCUGUUUGGUUGAAACAGCUGUGAAACUGUAGGUUCGGCAAGAAAUAUCUGUAAUACCCCUGAAAGUAUAAAAGAUUGUUGAUAUGCAAAUUGAUCAUAAAACGCUAUGUUAUUCACUGAUUCAUAUCUAAAUUAUCAUUUUAGAAAAGAAAACUUAUUUUAUUUUUAAUUUUUAACGUAUCAAGUAGAGCAAAACGCUAGCUAACUCGGCUAAUCUUAUAUUACGCAAGUAUCAAUGAUUAAGACGUUAAUCCAAGUAUCCAACAAUCCGCUCACAAGUAUCAAUGAUUAAGACGUUAAUCCAAGUAUGCACCGUCACAAGCGGCGCAACCUUAUCCUCUUCUAUCAGUGAAGGCGCCGGUGAAGCUGCUAACAAAUGUGGAGAAGCGAGGCCGCGCAUGGCUAGCAAUCCACCGUCGCCCACUCCAUCUAGGUAUAAAAAUCGAACCUUGAAGAACCACUUAUGCUCAUGUCUCCCUCAAUUUCAUGCGUGCAUCAAGUUUCCACGGCUGUUUUUGGCCUCGCCGCCGGGAAGAGAGGAGGGGGUCGGAGUGGAGAGGUGCGUCAUUGCCGCAAGAGGAGGAGGGGAUUGGGGAAGGGCGUCGUCGGGAAGAGAGGAGGGGGUCGGAGUGGGGAGGGGCGCCACUAGUACAGGUGGAGGUCGCACCGUCGGGGCUCGAGGAGGAGGUCGCGCUGCUGGGAAGACGGAGCAGAUGGGAAAGAAGAGAAAAAAACGAACUGGUACGCAACAUAACCAAUGGCAGGUGGGUAAUUUUUGUGAAAAAUUGGAAGCCACGGCAGGUGAAAGCACGGGUGAGGUUGCCGUGAGAUUUGUACCAGCAAAAGGCUACUUUUGGCUGUAGCUUUGGAUGGAAUCCAACCCCUUUGGUUGGCUUUUGACUUUUGGAGAAGCUAAACAUGUUGAAAAGCACAACCAAAGGCAGCCUGAGGUGACACGGACUCCGGCUGUGAAGAGGAAGGGAGAGGAGAGAGGGCCAGCGCAAUUAUUCGAUCCACCACCAUAAUUGGAUGUUUCGUUCGAGAAUCCGCACGAAUGCUAAUUUUUUGCUGAGUAAAAUGUAUGGUCGGCCCUCGAACUUAGCAAUGAGUGUCAUCUGGAUCCCCGAACAUCCACGUCCCUAAACUUGCUAAUUCGCCCACACGAGGUCCAAAUCUUCACCACCCAAGUUAAACUACAUGCGUGGCACGUUAGCUGUGCGUUGACGUGGACCUGACGUGUGGGGCCCACACGUCAGGUCCAUCUUCUCUCGUGCUCUCUCUUCCCCUUCCCAUUCUCUCUCUCUUGCCACAACGCCGCCGUACAAGCUUGCUCCGUCCACCGCACCAUCCGACCUCGCCGCCGGGCGGGCCUCGCCCCACCUCCGCUCGAGCCAGGCCGCCGCAGCUAGUUCCUCCCGCACCAGGCCGCCACCGCCAUCCCUCCCACCUGGGCCCGCCGCCAUUCGCUCCACCCGCGCGGGAGCUCGCCCUCGCGGUCGUACGCACCUCCCGCUCCCGGGCCUGGCUGCCGCCGCCGCCCGCUCCUCCUGCGCCCGGCCUCCGCCGCCGCCCACUCCUGAGGAGGGCCCGCCGCAGUUCCCUCCUCCCGCGUAGGGCCGUCGUGGCCGACCGCUCCUCCCGCUCCCGAGCCUGGCCGCCGCUUCCGCCCGCUCCACCCGCGUGGAGCCGCAGCCACCGGCGAGGCGAGCUCCCGCGCGGGUGGUGCGAACGGCGGCGGGCCCAGGUGGGAGGGAUGGCGGUGGCGGCCGGGUGCGGGAGGAACUGGCGGCGGCGGCCUGACUCGGGUGGAGGUGGGGCGAGGCCCGCCCGGCGGCGAGGUCGGGUGGCGCUGGAUCGGGGCGAGCGCUGGCGGCGAGGUCGGAUGGUGCGGUGGACGGAGCGAGCUUGUACGGCGGCGUUGUGGCAAGAGAGAGAGAAGGGAAGGGGAAGAGGGAGCAUGAGAGAAAAUGGGCCCCACACGUCAGGUCCACGCCAACGCACAGCGCAUGCAGUUUAACUUGGGUGGUGAAGAUUUUGGACCUAACGUGCCACGCAUGCAGUUUAACUGUUUAACUUGGGCGGUGAAGAUUUAGAAUUAGUAUGUUUAUGAACGUGGAUGUCCAUUUUGAGAGUUCGGGAAUCUAAAUAACAUUUCUUCUCAAGUUCAAGAGUUAGCCGCAUAUUUUAAUUUUUUUUUUCUUGCGAGGCUAGUGUAGCCAUCUUAAAUUUUCGGUGGUUCCAUCGGGCCAAGAACGUAAUGGUGAGUUUUUCUGGGAGAGGAUGAUCGGCAUAUCCUCACUGCGUUGAUUUCUAGGUUCUCGGAGUUCCUUUUUCUUCCCUUCAAACUGCAUACAUGCUUUUUUUUUAAUGAUGCAGUGUCCUCGUAGAUGUAUAAUAAUGUGAAAUUAACUUUGCAUAGUCUCUAAGAGCACGUUUCUUUCAAGAAUUUAAAAGAUAAAGCAAUAUUACCUACGAAUAAUCGACACCCUUUUUAAAACCUUGGAAUGGAGUAUUCUACUCUACAGGUGGAGCAAGAUAUAGCACCUACUUUUGAUUAAACUGGUUUGUCUUUGAGUUGGUCACUCUAUCUAUCCAUUUUUUUUGUGCAUGGUAUAUCCUCUCAAUGGAUCCUUUGGUCUUGAGCAUUAGUGCUACUUCAAUCAUCCAUCGAAUCAGUUCGCACGGAGAGGGAGACGCAUUGAAAAAUGAAAGGAAAAAGGAACAUGACUAAGUAGUUGUUUAGUUAGACUUUACUUCAAGGCUUUAGAAUAAUGGUAACAUUUUCUUGUAAUACCUAUGCAACUAAAUCCGUUGCAGAGCACCCACUUGUUUCUACAUGUCAUUAUCAGUUAUCACACAAGAAUAAACCAUGAAUAAGAAAAAUUUAUUAUAGAUUAUCUACAUAUGUUCAUUAUUAAGUCGCCUACACAUCCCUGCUACUAAAUCAACACAUGCAAAGAUUUAGAAAAAGCUCUCACCAGCAGAGAGAUACAUAAAAAGGAAUAAAAAGACAAGACAACAUAUAUACUUGUUUAGUUGGACUUCACUUCAAGGAUUUUUUUUUUAUAACAUAGUAUAGACGCAGACGCUCGCUUCAAGGAUUUUAAAUAGCUAUGUAUUAAUGUAUAUAUUUACAUUACCCAUUUGCACAACACACAUGCUUGUCGCUGCAUGUCCUCCUCGUAGAAGAAUGAACCAUGAAAAAAAACAAUCAUCUACACAUGUGCAUUACAAUUUCUUGCUACUAAUGUAAACACAUGCAUACAUGUAAAGAUAACAUGAAGUCCUGAGAAAGUGAACCUAGCUCUUGGGAGCACAAGUCAAGUUCAACUCAAACAGGGUAGCUAUUUUUAUGUUUGUUAAUGAAAAAUCAUCCUAGUUCCUUUGAUCCUAGAUUCACUAGUAGAGAAUUCACCUUCCAUGCACCCCAUUUUGUCCCGGUUUAAAGUUGGCCCGGGACAAAAGGUUCACCAACUGGACUAAAGCUCGGUCACUGGUGGGGGGCUCACCAACCGGGACCUUUUAUCCUGGUUGCAAAGGCUAGUGGAAAAAAAAGACCUUGAGAGGCCUUUUAUCCCGGUUUGAAACACCAACCGGGGUAAAAGACCCUCCUUUUAUCCCGGUUGGUAACACUGACCGGGAUAAAAGGCUGAAAGAAGACUAAAUUCCUCGAACCCUUUUAUCCUGGUUUGUAAUACCAACCGGGAUAAAAGGGGGUCUUUUAUCCCGGUUGGUGUUUCCAACCGGGAUAAAAGGAUCCCCCAUGAGGUAAUACAAAAGGAUUGCAUCCCCUAUAUAGUCAGAUGUGCUGUGUAUGUGGGAUGGCAAGGAAGCUACGCGCGAGGCUGGAGGUUGUGGGUUCGAAUCCCACGCAGCGUGCAUGCACAUAUUUCGCGUGAAAAAUCACGUGACUUGUGACUUGCGACGUGCGCGUGUGGAGGGCCUCGUAGGAGCCUGGGAUUUCUUUGGAACCGAUGGAGCAAGUGAGUUGCCAAGAAUGAUCAACAUAUGUGCUUUGUAGUCUACUACAAUUUCUAGGUACUAAAAUUAGCACAUGCAUAGAUGUAAAGACUAGAGCAUAUAGAGUAGCUGCAGAAAGGAAGAAGCAUAUAUAUCUUCCACAGCACAAUUCUAUUUUUGUUGAUACCAUACUUCAUACGCUACUGGAAAACUGAGCAUUGGUCCUAGCUCUUAGUACCAGUUAUUUUUUGACUCGGUACUAAUGUGAGCAUUAGUACCGGGUCUAAUCGCUAGUUCCCUAGGAGCUCCCCGUGACCCCCUUUAGUACCGGUUGGGAGCUCCAACAGGUACUAAAGGUCACCCAUUAGUAUCGGGUGGAGGCUCGGCUUCACCCGAUACUAAACCCAGUCGCAGCACCCACCCCCGCGCGCCUCCUUAUUCGCUCCCCCUCCCUCUCUCGCGUCGUCCCUCUCUCUCCUCUUCCUCUCCUGCCGCCCCCUCCCCUCUCCCACCGCCACCCCCUCCCUCUCCCGUCGCCACCCCCUCCUCCUCCCUCUCUCGUCCGGGAAGCGGCAACGCGCGGGGGAGCGGCUGCCAGCCAGAGGCGGUGGGGCACAGGGGUGCGGCGGCGGGCCGGAUGCGGCAGCGCGCGGGGCACAUGUAUUUUCUUUUUUCUUGCUCCAGGGCCGACGGCGGCGGCACCACCACGCCCCUUUCCUUCCCUAUCCCGCACCUCCCCUCCCCUCCCUUCCCUCUUACCGCGCCAGGCUCCGACGCUCCGGGCUCCAGCAGCAGCUUGAUCCAGCGGGGCAGCGUGGCGGCGGCGGCGGCGAGGCAGCAGGGUGCGGUCGGCCGGAUCCGGUGGGGCCGCGGAUGUCGGCGGCCGGCCGCACGGUCAAAUCCGGCGAGGUGCGACCGGCGGGAUACAGGUUGCGGGGGAGGGGCAGCCGUCGCUGACGAGGCGCGGUGGUGGGGCAGCCAGGCACGGUCGGCGGGAUGCGAGGCUGGGCGACCGGCUGGAUUUCUUUUAUUAUUUUUUAAUACCCCUUUAGUACCGGUUAUUUGAGACCUUUAGUACCGAAGUAGCAAUACCGGUUGCACAAUCGAUACUAAAGGGAGGUUAGGAACUGGUAAUAAAGGGGUGUUUGGGAGACAGGGGCUAAACUUUAGCCCUGUCACAUCGGAUGUUCGGAUGCUAAUUAGGAUGACUAAAUAUGAGCUAAUUACAAAACUAAUAGCACAACCCCUAGGCUAAAUCGCGAGACGAAUCUAUUAAGCCUAAUUAAUCCAUCAUUAGCGAAUGGUUACUAUAGCACCACAUUGUCAAAUCAUGGACUAAUUAGGCUUAAUAGAUUCGUCUCGCGAUUUAGCCUAGGGGUUGUGCAAUUAAUUUUGUAAUUAACCAAUAUUUAAUACUUCUAAUUAGUGUCCAAACAUCUGAUGUGACAGGGACUAAAUUUUAGCCCCUGUGUGCCAAACACCCCCAGCAGUGAUAACACCACUAAUAAUAAGCAUCAAUGCAAGUGGACACAAAGCAACAAUAAUAAGCAUGGCCCACUCCAUAAGAAUCUGGCUACCAACCAAACCAAUUGAAGCGCUCCUUCUUGAUGAUUUGUGGAGAAGGAUCUAGAAUGAGAGGCCCCCAAGUAAUGCAGCUUGUGCACGUAAUGUUCUAGCCAAUCGCAUAAUCGUGUCGCUGCGUAGGACUUUUCUUGUACAGCUCAUGACCUCUUCUUUUCGUUGAAAGCGAUGUGAUGAUGAGCUGGUCCAGUCCCCCGGUGGUUUGGUUCACUUGCACGGUUUGUUACAUAGCUUUGUUUGUACUGCUUGAAUUUUGUUGGCUUACAUGAAUCUUGGAAUUUUUCAAGCAUAUGUGGUUGGCAAGCAAGCUGCCAUUAUUGGGCAAUACCCAUAGAUUCAGUAGUCGAUGGAUCUAAGAGUACACACGAUGGCAUUCGACUCUACGGCGAGUCGCUAAUUGCGUCUUAGACUAUGUUUGUUUUGGUCGUGAUAGUUUUUAGAGGAAAGAUAUCUUGUGGUAACAAUUCUCCUAAGUUCCCAUUCUAUUUUGCAUUUUCAUAAAUGGUUCCCUUAACCUUGCCUUCUUUCGGGUUCUUUUUUCGAGAGGUAGGUUUGAAGUCCUCCUCGUCGAACUCCUCCCUUGGAGCAUUGACCACUUGCCCUAUGGGCAGUUCCUGCUAUCAUGACUCAUAUAUGGAGUCAUGGUCAUACCGUCGAGAAUAUGGUUCAUGUAUUUGUUCAGUUGGCACAUGGUUCGUAGUACUUCCUCCAUCUCAAUUAUUAUUCAUUUUGAUUUUUCUAGAUACACAUCUUUUGAUAUGCACCUAGAUAUAUAUAUAUACAAUGUCUAGAUACAUAGUAAAAGUGAUGUAUCUAGAAAAGUCAAAACGAAUAUUAAUUUGGGACGGAGGGAGUACAAAGUAUAACUUCAAAUUAGACGCAUAACCCAAUGCCAAUUUGGUGCUCCGGAUAAUUGAACAUCCAAGUGAACUUACCGAGAUGUUGAGAGCACCUCCUACAAAAACCAGCGUCACUUUCUUUUUCCACCCAAGGAAAAAGAAUAGAACAUGACUUUGUCUGGAAGAGAACACGGAGAGAUGCUGAAAACAUCCCCAUCCGAAUUCGCCCCGCGAGACCUAACCGAUGUGCCGUUGCGAUUCCACAAAAGUAGGCACUGGCGCGGUGGGGCGAACAAUCCACCGGAGGCGGGGCCCGGCCCGGCGGAACGUACCCCCAACUAAACGCAGGCCACAGACGCCACCGGCUGGGGCAUCCCGUCGGCAUCGGCUGGAGCCGCCGCCCGGCCGGCGCGAGCCGCAGCUGGAGCCAGGUGCGCGUCGGAGAGGCGCCGCCGUCAUGUGACGUCGCGGGCGCACGAGGUCCCCUCCCCGCACCGCAAGCAUAAUGCUCCGUCAGCCUGAGGCCAAGGCCACGCUCUCCCCUGCCUGCCUCCGCAUAAUAAAAUCUCCCUGCACCCUCCCUGGCUUCUCUCCUCUCUCUCCCUCGCCGCGCCUGCGAUCCUCUCCGCUGAGAUGCGAGGUGAUUCCCUGCUCCCCUUUCUCCUCCGCCUCUGCUUUCUCGCCGAGAUUCCGCUCGGCGUUGCUGGUCCUCUGCCAUGGCCGUUUGCUUGUUCAGCUGCCUUGUGCUAGGCGUAGAGCAUGAUAAGACUAGCUAGAGACUAGACUAGGCAUGCAUGUCGUGGUAGCUUUUGCGGCGGGUGAGUUCUUCGCCGAUUCUGACCGCUGAUUCGAGGUUUUUGAGGUUUCUGCCAUGGAUGAAUACGGUUAGAAUGUUCAUUCAGAUCUGUCCCGUCGUCCUGCACAUGUCGUUCGUCCCGGAAGUCCGGCAGUCCGGUUCUUCUUGCGUGGUCGCCGGAGUUGCUGCACGAAUCUGGUGCGUCUCUGUUGAGGGCUAUGAUGGGGGUAGGGGGAGUCCUGUGCGAAGAGUUUUGGACUCUUUCAGGUUGUCUUGUCAGGUUUUGGUCUGUUCUUCGGAUACUGUUCGCGAUUUGAGGCAGACCACGCGGGAGGCCAGAGGCCACUCGAAAUUCUCUCUUUUCUUGCUUUUUUUUUUUCAUUCACUUGAUGAAGGUGUGGCGAGGCAAGGGUCUCAGAGUCCAUUAGUGCACCGAGAUUUACUCCAAACAUUUUUUCUGUUUUCGUAUCUUCCUGAAACCGUCCUAGAUCAACACCUGGUUUUCAAAAAAUUGAGAACCAGGACAAUCUUUUGCCCUGCUCCAUGCCUUGCAAGUGGCAGCAUAUUCACUACACUUUGCCCAUGGCGAGCGUCAUGUAUAGGUAGGUAGCCCAAUUCGACAUGUUCCGCUGUUUCUGAAUCUUAGUAGGCUGCUUCUUCUUCUUUUUGCCAUCUUCCAAAGAUUGUAGGGAUAAGGGUUACGUAGAAUACUACCUAAGAUCUAUUUUAGGACUUCAAAUUUUAACAUGAUUUUUUUCUGCAAUUAACAUAAUUCUUGCAUGAUUGCUACGAAAUUCCUACGCCUGAUAUAGUUCUUGGGGACUCUAAUGAGAUUCGUCUGAACCAAACCGAUUCUUGUGCCCCUGAUAUUCUUUUCCACGGCUAUUGGAAUUGCUGUACGGUCGAGUCAACUGAAUGGCUCUUCCUAUUGUCUUAGAAAAUUUGCUCAAAGGUAUGAGCUCUGACCCAGCUGUUUGUAACGUAUAGGAUUCUUGUAUGGUUGCAAGCAUAGGUAUGACCUGAGCAAACCCAAAUUAUGUAGUUCUAUAAGAAGGUUUGUACGGGCUGGUACCAUCACUGACUGAUUCAGGAACAAUCAUGCAUUAAGUUAGGUGAAAUCCAUUUGGUUUUCUCGAGAUUUUUAGCGUAGCCUAUCUAGGGAUUGAUAGCUAGGAAAGUCAACUUGUUCAGCCGAGAUGUCAACGUAUCUUCUUUUGAAGAACUGAAGAUUUUAACAUACCUGUAUAUUGUGCAUACUCUCGUUCUCAAGUAAUCAUGGUGAUCUUCAUUGAUUUUUUUUUUGUUUCGGACUCAUGUUAUGUUUGUGUUUAACAUAUUUUUCUUCUUCAUCCAAACUAAAAGUCUAACACACAAGGUACAAUUAAUUAUUGGAAAAAGAAAAAAAACCCAUCUAUCGGACACAAGUAGAAUAGUUAUGACAGUAUGUUUUACUUUGCUAGUUACCUUCAAUUGUACCAUCAUCUUCCUCUGGUUUGCCACAAAUUAUUGGCCUAUUAAUGAAAAAGUUCCUGGUCAACGUUCUUCCUGAUUAUGAUUGGUCCUUGAUCUCCUUAUACCGAGUCAGCUUUUGUCAAGUGCAGUAAAAUAGACAUUUUCCUUCCAUCCAUAGUUCUGUAGUUACGCACAACCAUAUGACGCGAUGGGUGGUGUGGACAUUAAAUACUAACAAUGAACCACUGUAAAUUGUUGAGCACCAUAUGUUCGGAAUGCAAGAAUUUCACGCAGUAGUAAUUAUGCUGCUGUGAAAUUUUCGCUUGCUAGGGCCUAAGUUUUUUUCCUAGAACAGAAUCUCAACUACAUUUCCACUCCUUGUUGCAGUGUUCUAUUCUGAAGAUAUCACUGGCACAGAGCAACUGGAUUCCUCUGCUUCUUCUUGACGAUCAACUGUCAGUGAACAUCGCUAUAUGGUUUAGUCUGUCAGAGGUCAAGUACCUCCUGGAUCACAAUUUUUAUACUGCAGCAAGACAGUAAUGGACCGGGCAGACACAUCAGGCUUUGUUAGUGGUGGAUCAGAUGGUACUUCACUGCUGCUGAUAUUCUUUCACUUCGUCUACUCGACAGCGCACAUAUAAGAGAUCAGUAAACCCCUGAUCUCACUGUCCAGAAAUACUCUCCUCAUUGUUGCUCUUCCACCUUCACUAUAUUGCAAAGCAUCUAGCUUAGAUGAAUAACGGUUUUGCGGGUAUCCUCCACCGCAGAAACCAGCCUCUGAUGGAUGAUUCUGCAGUGUCGAUUGGUUUCUCGAUGACAGGCUACACAUCAGGCAGCCAUGGUCAGAGUCAGAUAACAUUUGGCCUAGACCGGUUGGGUUCAGCAAUGGACAACAGCUACAGCCAUGGCCAGAGAGGUCUGCGGAGGUCGAGCCAUGCGCCUGCGCAGGAUGAUGGGUGCAGACUAGUCCUUGGACUGGGAACAACGCCAGAGGUUAAUUCUGCUGACCAGCAUCCUGCUGGAGUAGACAAGUCGAGAGCACCUGUGACUUUGUUUGGCCAGAGCUUCUCCUUUACUGAUCCAGGGACGCUGAGCCUUGGGGUUCGCCAGGGCUGCAAUGCUGGAGCAAUUCAACACAAAGAAAUGCCUACCGGCCACAUCAUUUCCUUUGGCGCUGUCGAUGAGGGCUCAACGUCGGCCAGGAGAAGCGCCGGUGGCUUCAUGCCAUCCACUGUCCUCGCUCCUCGGCCAGACUAUGUAGCAGUCGAAGAGGCACAGGGUUUGGUAGAUCACACAGACAACAGUUACGAUAGUACUGUUCGUGAUCACGAUGGUUUUCGGCUCAGCACUGAACCUUCGGCAUCCACGACGGAGGCUUCGUUUGGCGUGAGCUCCGAUGUUGUGACAGUGGUAAGCAAUCCCGGACAGCAGGCUCAUCGCCGGCAUCCCAAGAAGUGCAGGUUCAAAGGGUGCUCCAAGGGCGCGCGGGGUGCGUCGGGCCUGUGCAUCGCCCAUGGCGGCGGGCAGAGGUGCCAGAAGCCCGGGUGUCACAAGGGCGCCGAGAGCCGCACAGCCUACUGCAAGGCCCACGGCGGCGGACGCCGGUGCCUGCAGCUCGGCUGCACCAAGAGCGCUGAAGGGAAGACGGAUCACUGCAUCGCCCAUGGCGGCGGUCGCCGGUGCGGCUACGCUGGCUGUCCUAAAGCCGCGCGUGGCAAGUCCGGGCGGUGCAUCAAGCACGGCGGCGGGAAGCGGUGCUCGGUGGAGGGAUGCAUCAGGAGCGCCGAGGGGCGGGUCGGGCUGUGCAUCUCCCACGGCGGCGGCCGGCGUUGCCAGUACCCGGACUGCCGCAAGGGCGCGCAGGGCAGCACGCUCUACUGCAAGGCGCACGGCGGUGGAAAGCGGUGCGUCUUCGAGGGGUGCGCCAAGGGCGCCGAGGGCAGCACGCCGCUGUGCAAGGCACACGGCGGCGGGAAGCGGUGCAUGUACGAGGGCGGCGGCGUGUGCCCGAAGAGCGUCCACGGCGGCACGGAGUUCUGCGUGGCGCACGGCGGCGGGAAGCGGUGCGCCGUGCCCGGGUGCGGCAAAAGCGCGCGCGGGCGCACGGACCGGUGCGUCAAGCACGGUGGCGGCAAGCGGUGCCGGGUGGACGGGUGCGGCAAGAGCGCCCAGGGCAGCACCGAGUACUGCAAGGCCCACGGCGGCGGGAAGCGGUGCGUCUUCGGCGGCGGCUGCGAGAAGUUCGCGCGCGGCCGGAGCGGCCUCUGCGCGGCUCACGGCACGCUGGUGGCCUCGCAGCAGCACCGAUGCGGCGGCGCGGGCGCGGGCAUGAUCGGGCCGGGCCUCUUCCACGGCAUCGUCCGGUCCGCCAGCGCCGCCAACAUGAACAACAACGAGUACUCGUCGUCCGGGGUGAGCACUGUGUCGGACUGCGGCGACGGCUCGCCCGUGCUGGCGGCGGGGAGGCUGGAGCUGAUCCCUCCCCAGGUGCUGGUCCCCCACUCUAUGAAGUCCUUGACGCCAGCCGCGCCGGCACCGGAGAGGAGCCGAGAGGGAGGGGUGGUCGCCGUCCCCGAGGGGAGGGUGCACGGCGGCGGCCUCCUGUCGUUGCUUGGCGGGAGCUUCCGGAACGUCGACGUCGACAGGCUCUGAAGCAGGCAACGCUCUUGAGGCUCGAUUUCUCUUCUUCUACAGCUCUUUUUCUUCAAAAAACAAAGAGGAAAAAACUACUAGUAUUUCUUUUUUAUCGUAGCUGUUAGAUUGGCUGUCUAUAAAACAUGCUCUUGUAUGCAAAUCGAACUUAUAUGGCGAACUUAGGUUAGUUUUGGUCCCCUUGUGUCAUAAAAGGCUAAGACAUGGAUGUGUCGGGGGCUGUUACAUACAUGUCGAGUUAUUCGUGGCAGGUCCCAAAGCUUUUGGGAUUGGAAAGCUUUGUAGCUGCAGUUGUUGUGAAUAAGAUCAAUGGGUAAUGAUCAACCAUCAAAUUGUACUUCUUGCAACACUCUGCUGAAAUAUCAGCUGACGAUCGAACUGUACCUCUUGAUGCAGAUGAUUGUGUGAUGUGAAAUAGGCUUUUAUGGGUUUGUGGCAUUUGAAGUUGGUCUAGUGAUUGUUUACCAAAAGUUUGACUCUUUGCAAUGUUUUUGCUUGACUCUGUCCGAGUUUCUAGUGGUAGCAGGGCCAUUAGCAUCACCGUCAUGAAGAGGAACAUGUAAUCUUGAUUCCUGAGAACCUCACUGGACACCGAUGGAAGAUGGACAUAUAUUUGUUGAAAUGGACUUUAUAGUUCAAAAGCAUACAAAAUCAUAAAAUGGCAUAGUGUCAUACAUACACCAGGUAUACUCAAGGGCCAUGGCUCUGGAAGAGUUAAUUUUUUUAGAUAGAAGAAUAAAAGUAUCCCAUCCAUUCAUUAUUACAACUUUGAUUCAAAUGGGAAGCACAAAGUGAGACAAAUCUACCUUGACAUGACAAAACUUUAAGCGCAUAUCCUGUCACUAAGCCGCUAUCAAGCAAAGAUGUUCACCACCGUGGUGAGUUCCAAUUUUUGGCAAAGAUGUUUACCACCGUGACUUCCAAUGUUUGGCACGCGCGUGGCCAAGUGAUGGCGUUCCUACGAAAAGGUCCGAAAGCUUGGCAAGAGUUCAUUUCAGCUCAAGUACAAAAUUCUCUUCCGGCUCCUUUUCGAAGACAGGCUAAACACAAGAGAACUUCUUAGAAGGGAAAAUAUGAAACUUCAGAGCUAUAAUAGUGUUUAUGUCCAAACAAUGAGGUUGAAUCUCUGCAACAUCUUUUUUCUCCGAUGCCCUUUCUCAUAAGAACUUUUGAAGAGUAAAACACACCGGCAGUCCCUGAACUUGUCUUGUGGUGUCAUCCGAGUCCCUAAACUCUCAAAAUGCAUUUUCAGGUCCCCAAACUUAUCUCAAGGUGUCAUCUGGGUCCCUAAACUCUCAAAGUGCAUAUUUAGGCCCUCCAAACUUGUCCUCAGGUUUCAUCCGAGUCCCUAAAUUCUCAAAAAUAUUUUCAAAUCUUAAAACUUGUCACCUAUCGCUGAUGGCAAUGCUUCCUCCUCGCUCGUUGCCUUCAUAACCACCUUAUGCUAGUGAUUAUGCAUGUAUUGCUUGGCACUUGAUUGGGGAUCUUAAAAUGCACUUUGAGAGUCUAAGGACUUGGAUGUUACCCUGAUACAAGUUGGGGGGGGACCGAAAAUGUGUUUUGAGAGUUUAGGAACUCGGAUGGCAUCUUGAGCCAAUUUUAUGAAUCUAAAAAUGCACUUUGAGAGUUUAGGAACCUAGAUGACACCCAAUAAUAAGUUUAUGGAGCACCUGUGUAUUUUACUCACGUUUGAACCUGCUGAAUUUGCACAUUGCGCCUAAUCUUUCUCUAUAUCAGAUUUUGGAAACUUUUAAGCAGCAGCUUUUGAAGCAUUUCUUUCUGGAAAUCAUAAUUAUUGUGUCCUGAGUAUCUGGACAACAAGAAUUGGUAUUGUCUUCAAACAACGAGUGUAUGUGGAAUCAUGUAAAGCCUCCUUUAAGCAUGAAUUUGCUAUAUCCAUAGGCUAGAGAAGUACUUCCGGGGCAGCAUAGAAUGGCUAGAUACAUUUCCAUAGUUCCUCGUUGUUUUCUUUGCAGUUUUGCUUCUGCUUCUAUAAACACUUUUUGUUAAUAUAUACUCCCUCCAUCCUAAAUUUUGACUUUUCUAAGUACAUAAAUUUUGAUAUGCACAUAGAAUAGAUAUAUAGGUAUAUCUCUAUACAUGCAAAAGUUUUGUAUUUAAAAAGGAAAAAAAUCUGGAGAAACCCACAGGGGGUGCAUUAUGCAGAUCAGAGGGCUUGCUUCAUUUGUCUCUACAUGUAACUGACCGUCUGACAGUGCCGUGGUUGAGUCGUUCUUAGGACUUUUUUCCGUGUGUCCCAUGACACCUUUUUGCGUAAAUUACACACUAGAGGUAUGGCAUGCUCCAUACAGUGGGUAGCAAUGUAGCAUAUACUCGUUUCGGCACGAUCCGUCCGGACACCUUCACUGAAAAGCAGGGGCGGAAUUAGGAUGAACACCUUAAGAGGGCUAAAUAGUAGAGAUUAAAGGCUAGAGUUAGAAAUUAAUGAUGAUUUGAGGCUUUAUCUAGGGCAGCACGGCUGCACGCACAAGUUUCCGAAGCUGAUGAUGAUCCGGCAGAUCACAGAACCACCGAGCCAUCCAGUAGCGCCGCAUGCAAGUAGCGCUGGCAGCCGCUUCCCAUCCAUCCAGAAGCCGGAUGUGUAUGCGCCAGGCCGGAGCUAGCACUAGUAGCAGGCGGCGAACGGAAACGCGCAACACGAUGCAGAUCGCUGGACGCGCAGUGGCUUUCUGACGCAGCUCUGUCCUCCUCCGGCUGAGAAUAGCAGUAGCUAGGGGGGUCACAAACCAAUGCAAGGACGCGAUCGGCCACUUCAAUUCUUAGCCGUCUUUGCAAGUAGCAGUGUCGUGGCGAACCCAUCCCCUCCUUCGGCUCUGCGCUUCCAAGGCGACAGCUGAGUAGCUGACCUGCGAGAUGGCAAGAGGUGCUCUGCCUCUGCUCCGGCUGCCUGUUCUUCUUGCCCUGUGCCUUGCCGUGGCAGCGUGCUUCUGCGGCGGAGGAAAUGCGGCGGCGGCUGAGAGGAAGACGGUUGGCGUGCACGAGCUCAAGAGGGGCGACGACUUCUCCAUCAAGGUCACCAACUGGGGUGCCACUCUCAUGUCCGUCGUCCUCCCCGACUCCAAGGGUAAUAACUCUGCUCUUCCAUGCUCUGUACAGUCUUCUUUGUGGAGCCGGGGCUACGGAAGACAUGCAUUCUGAUUUUCGCGUUGCAGGGAACCUGGACGACGUUGUGCUCGGCUACGACACCGUCGCUGAAUAUGUGGUAAGAAGAGAUCAUCUCGAUCAUAGGAUCCGGCUCCAAAAUUGUUCACUUGGCUGUCUUUGUCUCCGAACAUGCAGAACGGCACCGCCUACUUCGGGGGUCUGAUCGGCCGCGUGGCCAACAGGGUCGCCGGCGCCCGGUUCACUCUGGACGGGAAGGCCUACCGGCUGUACCCCAACGACGGCAACAACUCGCUCCACGGUGAGAGACUGCCGGCCGAGACCGAGACUCUGCUGAUGGAUUGUUGCUCCGAGCUGCUGUGUGAUUGUUAGUUCGUUCACUUCUUUUUUUUCUAAAAAAAACUGAGCGUUCGUUCCUGUUCUUGUUCUUGGGAUCGGACCAGGUGGUCACCGGGGAUUCAGCAAGGUCAUAUGGACGGUGAUGGAGCACGUCGGCGGCGGCGACUCCCCCUACAUCACUCUCUACUACCAUAGCUUCGAUGGGGAGCAAGGUACAGUGUGUUCGUUCCUUUUCGUUAUUUGGAACAUUGUGCAUCUGUUCGUGGGAGCGCAUUUACUCUAGCUGUGUGGAUCAGUGGAAUUGUUCGUUUAGAAUGUCUGCAACUAGAGCAUCGGAGAUAUUAAGGUUAGGUCGAACAGUUAACAGUACCUCCUUUAAAAAAGGGGAAGCUGAAGCUCUUCAGCUUCUGUGUUUUAGUAAAAUAGGAGCGGUAGGGAGAAGCGUCAAGCGUGGUCAGGAGAAGCUUAAAAAAAGCAGGCUGUUUGACUUCCAAUUUCAGCUUAUUUUAGUCUUAAGUAAGAUUUAAUUUGUUCCAAACAGAGCCGUGAUGAGAAUUAUUGGAUCAAAUAGGUGAUUGGCCCUAAAAUUCAGAGUGUGUAUUAGGUUUGAAAUAUCCAGUGAGAUGUAGAUGCUCUUUCUUAUGAACAGCUCCUUUUGUAUUGAUGGUAUGGAAUACUUCACCCAGUACAUGAGUGCCGGAGUGAAAAACCUCGUAGUGCAGCCCACAGCAAUAUGUGGUCCACUGUCAUCACAUUGGAAAAGGUGUUUUUCCUGCACACGCAUUUGCGCUUUUCCUCAACCAUACGGUCCAUACUGCAGCAACCUGCAACAGCAGUGUGAGCUAGCCUCAUUCCAGGCGCACUAUAUCCACUAGUGUAGGUGUAGCCAUCAUUGAAACGUUUGUUUUCCCACCCAGCAAUAUAAUGCGUUUGCUCUGGCGGGCUUAGCUAGGUUAAUGCGUUGUCUUUGCGAUGCUGUACGUGAAUGCAGGUUUCCCCGGCGACCUGGACGUGUACGUGACGUACCGGCUCUCGCCCCCGCACGUGCUGAGCGUGCGCAUGAACGCCACGGCGCGGGGCAGUGCCACCCCGGUGAACCUCGCGCACCACGCCUACUGGAACCUCGGCGGCCACGGCAGCGGUCCCGUCCUCGGCGAGACAGUGCAGCUCCUCGCGUCGCGGUACACGCCGGUGGACGCCGCGCUCAUCCCCACGGGCGCGCUGGCGCCCGUCGCCGGCACGCCCUACGACUUCCGCGCGCCGGCACCCGUGGGCGCGCGCCUGGCCGAGCUCUUGCGCGGCGGCGUCGCGGGCUACGACACCAACUACGCCGUGGACGGCGCCGACGAUAGCAGCACGGCGCCGACGUCCCUGCGGCCGGUGGCGCGCGUCCGGGACGGCGCGACGGGGCGGGCGAUGGAGCUGUGGGCGGACCAGCCCGGCGUGCAGUUCUACACCGCCAACGGGCUCGGCGGCGUCAGGGGCAAGGGCGGCAGCGUGUACGAGCGGUACGGCGCUCUGUGCAUGGAGACGCAGGGGUUCCCCGACGCCGUGAACCACCCGGGCUUCCCGUCGCAGAUCGUGAGGCCGGGGCAGGUGUACAAGCAUGACAUGGUGUUCAAGUUCUCCUUCUAGUUGACUAGCUCUCUACAACUAGACGGCAGCUUGAGCAUACAAAUGGUGCAUGCAAGUAUGCAACUCGUCUCUUGUAGUGCUGUCACACAGUGGCGUGUCAUAUAUAGACUUGAACUACAAGUCUGAAGAACACGGGAAAUAAUAGCGUGCUGCAUGUGGAUUCAUUGCAGUACGACAGUACGUUUCAUGUAUGGACGAUACGUGUGUACGUACUCACGGCAACUUUGGACUGCGAAACAUACUCCAUGGCCACUACCGGAGAGGUGAGCUUUAUUACCGACUCUGAACCUUGCGAUACCGUUAUUGUUAUAUUGGUACUAAAAUGAUCCUUUUAGUACCAGAUCAUGCACCCGGUACUAACCUAUUACUAUCGGUUGGUGUUAUCAACCGGUACUAAAUUGUUUUGUGUCAAAAAAAUAAAGAAAAAAUUUGUUAAAUAGCCAGGAGGUCAAGCUAGGAGGACCUUUAGUACUGGGUUAUAACACUACCCGAUACUAAAAUACCUUCGGGGGCUACUAAAUUUGGACCCAGUACUAAUAUUAGCAUUAGUACCGGGCAAAAUAUAACCGGUACUAAGGUUAUUUUUCUAGCCAUGUGGUCAUAAUAUUUCAAUUUGUGUCGUUGCAUUCGGAAAAGUUCAUUGCUAGGACUACCUGUAGUGUUACGGAGAGCUUGCUUGGUUGCUCGUACUGAUGGCCUAGGACAUACAUGGACAGAGCUAGGCCAAUUUUAUGAAAUGCUAUAAAUAAUAAUCCAGUGUGGUGGGGCCACACAUGCUGGAUCAAAGCAAUACUACUUAUAUCAGCGUACACAUAGAGAAGCCUUAAGUGGCGGACCCAGGAUUUUUUUAGCCUGAGUGAACAGAGCAACCCAUAAUAACAUUCUCAUUUGAGAAUGCGAAUACAAGGAGGUAUUUUGUGUUUGGGAAAGUCCGAAGAAAAAAGGAUUUGGAAUCCACCUUUUCUUUUGCUUUUUUCCCUUAGAAAAAUAACUCAAUCAAAAUCCAAUUAUCUACUCUACAAGAACGAAAUGCUUGUUAUGCCUAAUAUACUUAGUUUAACAUGUAUCUGUUUUAAUUCUGUUCUUUGUCCGACUAGCUUUUUCUUCGCCAAAUUACCCGAAGCUUAUGCCAUUUUCAACCCAAUCGUGGAUGUUUUGCCUGUCCUCUUUUUUCUAUUAGCGUUUGUUUGGCAAGCCGCCGUAAGUUUUCGAUGAAAUCUUUACUAUUCCGUCUGCCAAAUUGAAUUGAAUGAUGUAUUCAUUCCAAAAAAAUUUAAAAAAAUGGAAAUGGAUAAGAGCCGAGAAGUCUUAUAUUAUGAACCUUCGAUUCUAAAAUUUAAAUUCUUCUACAUUGAAUGUAUAGCUGCAGCAAUAAAUUGGGAUCCGCCUUUCUACCCCCCGCACCUACGUUGAGCAGGUACCUUUAGGUACCCACACAAUACCUAAACUAAUUUUUGAUAUUGAUAAGAGUGCUUAUUAUAAAGCAAUUCUUGCAAUUUUUUUAAGAAUUGAUUUUUGCAUUUUUAGGUGUCAAAAUAAACAAAACCCAUCCUAGUGGAUCUGUGUAGUAAGGAAAAAUGGGUAAUCUAUUCCUUAACAAAAAAAUCUUGGAGAUUAUGUAAUGCUUACUCUCAAACUUUUUGUUUAUACAGUAGUGAUAUUCUUUGUUUCCCUCUUUAUCUUUGGAUUCUUAUCUAAUGACCCAGGACGUAAUCCUAGGCGUGAAGAGUAAAAAUCCAAAAUUUGUGGGAAUUUUUUCUUACAAAUUGGAUUUAUUUCGUACAUUUAUCGAUGAGAAAAUCCAGGGGUCAGAAUUCCUUACAAUUUGAAAGUCCCAAAUGAUCCGAGGGGGCGGAAAGAGAGGGAUUCGAACCCUCGGUACAAAAAAAUUGUACAACGGAUUAGCAAUCCGCCGCUUUAGUCCACUCAGCCAUCUCUCCUCAUUCUAAAUCGAAAGGUUUUGGAGAAGGGGGAAGAAGCACACUUGAAGCACGCAGUACAACGGGAGUUGUAUGCUGCGUUCGGGAAGGAUGAAUCGCUCCUGAAAAGGAGUCUAUUGAUUCUCUCCCAAUUGGUUGGAUCGUAGGGGCGAUGAUUUACUUCACGGGCGAGGUCUCUGGUUCAAGUCCAGGAUGGCCCAGCUACGCCAGGGAAAAGAAUAGAAGAAGCAUCUGACUCUUUCAUGCAUACUCCACUUGGCUCGGGGGGGAUAUAGCUCAGUUGGUAGAGCUCCGCUCUUGCAAUUGGGUCGUUGCGAUUACGGGUUGGCUGUCUAAUUGUCCAGGCGGUAAUGAUAGUAUCUUGUACCUGAACCGGUGGCUCACUUUUUCUAAGUAAUGGGGAAGAGGACUGAAACAUGCCACUGAAAGACUCUACUGAGACAAAAAAAUGGGCUGUCAAAAAGGUAGAGGAGGUAGGAUGGGUAGUUGGUCAGAUCUAGUAUGUAUCGUACAUGGACGAUAGUUGGAGUCGGCGGCUCUCCUAGGCUUCCCUCAUCUGGGAUCCCUGGGGAAGAGGAUCAAGUUGGCACACUUUAAGAAGAUAUUGACCGCUAACAAAAGCAAAGUUGACAACUUUGGUAGUUUUGGAACUAAACAUGUUCACUAUACAUGUGAAUAUAUCAAUAUAAAUACAUUAGGAAAAUAAAGACGCCACAUAAAUUGUCUCAAUACCACACUAAUUCAUUAACACAGUUUGCACCAAAAGUCUAGUACUGUAUGUCCAGAGGAGACACCAUGAAGAAGUAAAUAGGGCACUAAUGAAGAGUGAUGAUCCAAAUGAUCCAUCCAUCUAGUUAUUCGGUAGCGAUCAAGAGCAAAAACCAGCUUAGCUAGGGUUCCGCUUCUUGUCAUCCUGAAAGUGUGAGAUAGUUUGGAAAACACGCAACAAUUUGCACUGAUAGAACGGUGAAGAUAUAUAGUACAAGAGUGGCAACAGAAAGUUGUGGCAUGCAACAGAAGAGGAAGCUAUCCUAGAUAUCUUAGAUUAAAAUCAUGGAGAUACGCUAUAGGAUAGUUGCCUUAGUCAUCGCGAUACAUUAAUUCCAUCUUAAGAUGGGUGCCGAUUAUGCUUGUGGAGGCGCUGAUCUCCUUGUACCGCGUCUGCCAAUGGCUACAUAGUGAUGCCGGCGACAAGAGGUCGCAAUGGCUUCAAGCCUUCAAGCCUGUGCACGUGUUCAUGAUGAUGAGUUCCGGUCGCAGCUAGCAAGCAUGCUCGAGGCCCCGUGCAGGAGGCAAGCUCAAUCUCCUGGCUCGACGUGAUUCAACGUAUUGGACUACAUGUGUUUUAGUUGGCUGUCAAUGGCACGAGUCAUUUCUCCCUUAGGACGCUCAACAAGGAACCUGGAUAGGUGCCUAGGCUCGAUGGACCUUAGGUCUGCCCCUGGAAGCUUGAUGCUUACAUAAGCAAAUACAUAGAAGCUCACACCAGGUGUGUUGCUACAGUUUUGUAAGUGACAUUACCAAAGUGCCUUUGGCCUACUCGGCACUACAAAAGCAGGGCUUGCUUCUUCUUCCUCCUCCUAUAUCUUAGUCGUUCUUCCUCUUUUCCCUAGCCCUCCCCUUAUAUCCACACCUAGAGAAGGAGCCGCAAUCCACCAAAGCUAACAGCUAGAUUUUUAUCCUCUGAGCUAAGGAUCCCUUCGGAGCCUCCACGCAUCGCCCCCAGACCACGUGGGGGUGAACCGUGCAUCGCCUGUUCUCACCGUCGGUGGCCUUGGCAGUCGUCGGUGCGCGGUGGUACUCCCCUACCUCCCUCUCUUCCUUUCCAUCUUCUCUCAUUUCUCCAUCCUCCCCUCUCGCUCCACCACAGCACCACCACCACAUUCCAUGCCAUCAUCAUUGUAGCUCGUCUAGCAUCAGUUCUCCCUUCGUCUAUGCCCUCUGUAAAGUCAAAUAUAUCAUGGGACGUAUGUGCUACAAAGAGAUGAUGCAAAGAAAUUGUAUCAUAGUGUUGCUCUCUAUGAAGUCAAAUAUGUCAUGGGAUAUGGGAAUUUGACAUAUGGCUUGACAUUAUCAGUCAAUUAUGAUUCAUCCAUGUGUUAAUGAGAAAUAGUAAUUGAAUUUCAAUCUCUAACCUAAUAGUUUAUUAGAUAUUAUUAGUUCAUUGCGGUGAUUUUUAUAGAAGCUAUUUCAAGAUGCUAUUUGUGAUGUCUUAUCAAAUUGUUAAUUACUAUUAGGACAAUGAUUAUCCUUUGCAACUAUUAGGGCCAUAUAAGCAAUUAAUUUUCUUCAUAUUCAAAAGAUUAUAAAGCUAUCUAAGCAGUUAUUAGUUGACCAAAAAUAUCAAUAAUUAUGACAUUAAGGAUGGGGGUAUUUUGGAAGGAUUUUGAGUAUGUGAUAGAGAAUGAUAUUGGUGUAUUUGCUAAUGUGUAUCUAUACGUGCACGUGCAUACAUGUGCAGGAAGCUGAUGACAAUAUUUACCAUUUUCAAUAUUUAUUUUUGUUGGUUUGAUACAUGAAUAAAUCUUGUUCUAUACUGUGUUAUAAAAUAUUUCAUUAUUAUGAUUACCUUACAUGAUACUAGGCUAUUAUAUUUAUAUUAUUUUCUACUUUGCAGAUAGAACUUGUUACUAUUAGUGAAAUUGGAACUAUUAUGCUAGAUGGUGUAAUUUUGUGGCACAUGACCAUUUUACAUGGAAUUAGUUAUUUUUUUAGUUGUUUUCUAAUUUUGUAAUAAUUUAGUGUAGCGUGUUUUGAGCGGGGCAAUUUGUUCUUUCUGGAUCUGAACCGUAUAGUCAUGAUGUAGGGUAUGACACCGUAUAAGAAGAAGAAUGUUGAUUCGCAAAGGACUUAAAUGUGAAAGAGCCUUUAUAAAAGUAUUGUCUAUACUUCUCAUAACACUUGUAAGGAAUGUGGAACUCUCGAUAUUGCACUCUGAUGUAAGGUUAAUAAGAGCAACCAAAAAAAAGUAAGGUUAGUGAGAACCGAGGUGGAUAUGUGAAUCAAAAAAAUGAGUCUUGAUUAUUCCAAUAUUCGACAUUAAAUUGAUAGAAUGGUUACAAUUUUUUAGUGCAAUUCCACACAUGUUCUUUAUUACGUCUGGCUAUUUCACAUGUUGAUUUGCGUAGACAAGGUGGAGGUGUAUUGAUACAUUUUAUGGAUUGUCAAAGCUUGAACGAGUCAUUUUGGCCACUACUUGUGUUGCAAAGGGAAAAAAUAAACAUAUUUCGAAAAACAUGUCCACUGCCAGUACACUUGUAGCAUACCAUAGCCCUCUAGAAAUCCAACAUGCCCUGCCAGGCACCAUGUGGUACUGUAAAGGCAAAGACUAGAAUUUUCCUACCAUUCAAAAUAUCUUCUAGAAUUUAUUUGCUUUGCCAUGAAAAGAAGAUUUUAUCCCAUGCGUAGGAAAGGUUUAUUAUCCCGAUAGACUACUAAAAUAUUCAAAAUAUACAUUGCGUAUUCCAACAUGAUAUGUAUGUGUUUCUUUUUAUACAUAUAAAAUAAAAUCACUAUACUCCAAUAGAUGUAUAAAUAGAAUUGUGAUUAUUUUCAUGUCUUCUAUUGUUAAAUUAUUCAUGUGUAAAAUACAUAUGAAUUAUUUUCAUGUCCUUAUUGCUUCCGCUUUUAAAGUUAGUAGGGGUAUGAAGUUAGAAAGGUUAUUGAUAGCUUGUAAGAAUGGAUUAUUUAAUUUGGAAAACAUUACAUGAACUCAUAAAAUAAGUAUUUUAUACACAUAGAAUAAGUUAUAUAAAGUCAAGGAACAAAAUUUGUGCACUUGGAACAAAUACAUUGUGGAUAUACAAAAAAUGUGGUAGUCCAUGAAAAAAGUAAAUGAAUAAAUUUAACUAUAGUAAGGAAUGAAAGAAUGAAAACUAAAUAAAAAUAUGAUAAGAGAAUUAGAUAGAUGAAGAAUGGAUAAAAACUGGAAGAAGAAAUAAAAGAAUAAAAGAAAAAAUAAAUAGGGAAUAAGGGAAAACGAGAAGAAAAUAUGAAAAAUAAAUAUCAAAUAUCAGUGUCUUUAUAGCACUUGCGCACUUAGUUCAUAGAAAAACAGAAAAUAAGAAGGAAAACUUGAAGAAAACAAAAACAAUAGUGUGUUUAUAGCACUCGCACACUUAGUUCAUAGAAAAAUAUAAAAUAAGGGAAGAAUCAAGAAUAAAAAAGAAAAGAAAAAGAAUAAAUGUGGAACUCUUGAUAUUUCACUUUCUCUUUUGUAUUUACAUCCCUCUCUAAUGCAGACUCUUCCAACUAUAACAAUCAUCUGUAGCCCUUCUAUAUUCUGACGAGAGAACAAUCACUCAUCUAUGUGGAGAACAAGGAGACGACAAUUCACAUGAUGAUCGAAUCACCCAAACCUCAUCUUCACAUGCUAAAAGAUGAACAAAUAAGACACAUCUCUGUUGCUUUUUACUGAUUGCAUUGUUCAUGUCACAAAAAUAAAGCGACGAAUGAACAGAGAUGUUUCUUAAUUUUCAAACACUCCCAACUCACUAUAUCCUAAUCAUCAACUCUAGUUUGUUAUGUCGCCACAAGCCUGAAGCUCAACCUUGCUUUGUCGGUGAAGCUCGCCUACUCAGGGGCAUAAACCUUACUAAAUCCUUGCAUACGAACGAGCCUUGCUUGAGCGUGUUCUCUUUUUUUUUUGAAACGUAAAUGGCAGGAGCUCUGCCGCAUCUUAUAAGAAGAACAGAAGUUUUAGUACAAAUUUCAUGCCUUGUUAUAUGAUUGACAAAUUACGGCUCAUCACUUUUAACAUGAGUUGAUACAACAUUUGCGUUAUUCGAUCAUAGGAGCUCCACAUGCCGCUUGGCGCAGACCAAUCUCAUCUUUGAUGAGGUAGAAUACUUGCAACGCAGAGCAUUGUUUCCCCUCGAAUAUUCUUCUGUUACUCUCUUUCCAAAGAUUCCAUGUGGUGUAGAUGAUCACCGCAGCAUUCAGCGUUUCUUUUCCUUGGCAACAGCAGCAAUGGACAUACACCACCAGUCCUACAAUUCCAUAUCGCUUUGUGGAAUCUGGACAAGUUCACUGGCCCAGUUAGCGACUUUGCUCCAUACUUGUAGUGAGAAUGUGCACCUGAUACACAUGUGUACUGCUGAUUCAGCAUCAGUCUGGCAUAGUGGACAUAUAGGAUUACAUGGCCAAUUCCUAGCUUGAAGUCUGUCAGCCGUCAACAAUCUGUUUUGCAUGAGCAACCAAGUGAAGAACCUAUGUUUACCCUUUGUGCCUUCCAGAUUGCUUGCGGCUGGAAUUGGCAGUAAGAUCCUGCAAACUAGGCGAGGUAUGCACUCUUUGCAGUGUAUUGGCCGUCAGCCGACCAUCUCCAUACAAUUUUGUCAGGCAUGUCAGUAAGGACCACGUCCUUGACAAGAUCCCAGAGCUCGAUGAAUUCAGCCAUUUCAUUUACAGAUUGCAUUCUCCAUAGGCCCCUAGUCCAACUAUGAUCCUGAAGCUCCUCGUGCACUGAUCUGUUUUUACGCCAUGCCAACUUGUACAUAUUUGGUGCUAUAUCCCUAGGGGCUUUGCCAUUAAGCCAAGAAGAGUUCCAAAAUUAUGUUGUUUGUCCAUUCCCCACCGUAACUAAGGUACUAGCUCUGAACAAUUGCAAGUCAAUGUCUGUCACCGGUGCUUCCCCUCCCGUGCAAGUUCUAUCUCGCUCCUUCCAUUCAAACCACACCCAUCACAGCCUUAAUGCUCUGCUGAAGUUCUCCAAGUUUAAGGCCCCCAGGCCACCCAUCUUCUUUGGCUUUAGCACAUUAGGCCAUGCAACUAGACAGUGCCCCCUAUUUACUAUUUCAGCCCCUUUCCAUAGGAAAGCUCUUCUUAUCUUGUCAAUUUUCUUAAUUGUCCAGGAUUUUAGGUUGAAAACUGUGAGGAAGUAUGUUGGUAUGGCUGACAAAACUGUGUUAAAAAAUAUUAGGCGUCCAACCCUGUUAUGUAAUCUUCCCUUCCAUGAGGGUAAUCUAGCAGCAACUCUAUCAAUUAGUGGUUGUAUAUCAACCCUCCUUAGUGCUCUCGUGUGAAGAGGUAACCCAAGAUAUGAGCAAGGAAAAGACUUCACUGGAUAGUGAAAAUUAGGCAAGAUGUGCUCAAGGUUGAUCCCAUCACACUGGAUUGGGUAGAUGGCACUUUUGCUGAGAUUUUUGAUCAGCCCUAAAGCCAAGCCAAAGUCAUUUAGAACCUCCCUGACAACUGCAAUCUCUUCACUGUUUGGUUUUAGAAAAAGGGCAACGUCGUCUGCAUAUAUGCUGAGCCUUGUUCUAGUUAUUCUAUGCUGGAUUGGGGAUAACAUUCCUUGGGCCUCUGCAAUCUGGAACAUUCUGUUCACUGGUUCCAUAACCAGUAUAAAAAGUAUUGGACUAAGAGGAUCUCCUUGUCGUAAACCAACUCUAUGCCUGAACCAUUUGCCCCCUAGCUCCAUUCAGGAGGACUGAAGUGGAUGCAGAUGAUAGUAAUGUAGUGAUCCAUUCCUUCCAUCUAUUGCCAAAUUCCAUCUCCUGCAGAACCUCCAUAAUGUAGUCCCAUCUUACACUAUCAAACGCCUUCCUGAUGUCCAAUUUAAGGAACAGUGUAGGUUUCUUUGCUCAGUGCAAACAUUUCACCAGGUUCUAUGUAUAUAGAAAAUUAUCCUGAAUGCUUCGACGUUUGAUGAAGGCACUUUAUGAUCUUGACACCAAGUACUACAGAUGUGGUUGUAGCCUAUUAGCAAGCAAUUUGGAAAUUAUUUUUGCAACAUUAUGUGUCAAACUUAUUGGCCUGAAUUGGUUCAAGCUCUUUACUGCUGGUGUUUUCGGUAUGAGGACAAUAUGUGCCUUAUUUAACUGAUGGAAAUGCUGCCCAUGCUGCUGAUAAAAAUAGAGGAUAACUGCCAUUAUGUCAUGCUUGAUCCAUUCCCAAGCAGAUUUGAAGAACAAGCCGAUAUAUCCAUCUAGGCCGGGGGCCUUUUUUGAUGCCAUGCUAGAAAUCACUUCCCAAACUUCUUCCAUAGUGAAUACAUGUUCCAAGUCAUUCUGCUACAGCUUGGUCAAUUGUAGUACAUCCCAAUCCAUAGUAUGUGUUCUUUGCUGAACUUGUUCAAAUUGAGUACUGAAGUGCUGGAAUAUCUGAUCUGCUUUCUCUUCAUGUAGGUGUAUUUGCCUUCCCUCAACUUCCAAGGCUUGUAUGAAGUUUUUUCCUCCUUCUACCAUUGAGAUGAAUAUGGAAUAGUUUUGCUUGAGCUUCUGCAGCUUUUAUGUGAGCUAUCCUGGAUUGCUGCUUCACCCUCAAUUUUUCUAUUGCAGUCAUUCCUAGUAUUUUGGCUUUCAGGUCCCUCUUCAAUAUCACUUCUUGAUCAGACAGCUGCCUAAAUUCUUGCACCACAUCAAAGAUAAGGAUAAGCUGUUUGGCUAGACACAGAAGUAGCCUAUUGUUUCCCACCUUAGUUCUUGCCCAUUUCUUAAGUGCUUUCCCUAAUCUCUCUAAGUUGGUAUGCAAUCUCAAGAAUGGGUUUUGUAUUUGAAUAUCUCUAUUCCAUGUCUCAAUGACAAUUUCUUUGUAUCCAUUAAGCUUAGGCUAGAAACUCUCAAAUCUUAGGCCUCUAUACCAUUUCCAGUCUGAGUGUCCAGUUAAUAGCAAAGGGGAGUGAUCAGAGACAGAUGAAGAAGUAGCUUGCAGCACACAGCUGGGCAUCAUGAGGUCCCACUCAAUGGUGCAAAAGGCUCUAUCUAUUCUUGUGUGGGUGGUGUUAUUAGACCAAGUAAACUUUCUCCCUCUCAGCCUCAAUUCUUUCAGUUCAAGGUCAUUUACAAGUUUCCUGAACUCCCCCAUCAGUCUUCUAUUUAGGUUACCAUUGCUAUUAUCUUCUACUGUCAGAAUCAUAUUAAAAUCUUCCAGCAGUAACCACUUGUUUGUUAUGCCUUGCUUAAUUUGUCUGAUCUCUUGUAUGAACUGUAUUUUAUCACUAUCACCUUAUGGUCCAUAGACCACAGUGAUCCACUAGCUCUAUAAAGAUGAUGUGGCUUCAAUCAGUGCUAACACAGUGUAGGUUCCAAUAUUUGAAUCAAUGAUUUUGUAGUAGUCUUGGUGGACUGCUAGAAGGACCCCUCCUCUGGUUUGCUGAGCAGGCAAAUGUACAUAGUUGUGUAGAAACUGUUGCCCUAGGGUCUCAACAAUAAUGCUUGUGUCAAUGUUCAGGACCCGUCCUCUGGUUUGCUGAGCAGGCAAGUGUACCUAGUUGUGUAGAAACUGUUGCCCUAGGGUCUCAGCAAUAAUGCUUGUGUCAAUGUUCUAAAUUUUUGUUUCUUAGAGGCAUGCAAUAGUGCAUCUAGUAUCCUGGGCCAAGUCCUUCACCACUCCUCUUCUCACAGGGUUACUUGGUCCCCUCACAUUCCAAUUUAGCACAGUACAACGUUGACUACUCAUAUUGAGACAGAUACAACUCCAACUAGACCUUGCUUGGGAGACAGACCCAAGCACACAGCAAGCUACCAUAAUGGAGAACCACUAAUACACACCGAGCAUACACAAGUUACCAUCUAGUACACAAGGAACACAAAUGAUAGAUACUACCAUACACUGAGAAGGGGGGUGGGGAGCUGCACUAGUGUAAACACAAACACCAAACACAGGGUACUUAGUACAAAGCAACCUAGACCAUAGGCCACUGACCCACAUAGACAUUAACACAAUCCUCCCCACUUCAACCUUCUUGCUCUGUUCAGUCUUCAGCAUGGAGAGCAAUGGUAACCAGAUCAUUUGCAAGACCAAAAGCCUCCCUGAGGUUCCCAACUGUUUCCUGUUCAAGUGAUUCAGUAAACUGUGUGCUGAAUUUGGUAUGUGUCGGGGAGUCAGGAAGCUUGUUUACUUGCAGCAGACCACACUUCUUCAUCAGCAAAGCUGUUGCUUGUUCUUCCAUGGUCAUGUCAUUUUUCCCCUUGCUUGCAAUUCUAGCACUUUUCCUUGAGGACGGUGUCCUGUUGUUGAGGUUAUUGGGUUUGAGUGUUCUAUCUGCUGUUGCUGUCUUCACUUUGGGGUAUGCAUUAGACAGUAGCAGAACUGGUGGCUGUAGCUGUUUUGUAAAUGCAGAAUUCUUUUGCCUCUUUUGGGCAACACCUGAUUGCAAUGACUGUAAGUCUGCAUCCUGAUGAGCUUGAUCAACUGGUGUGUUCUGCUGACGCUUCGAUGGCCCUUGUGCUACUAUCUGUUCCGGCGGGGGCACCAGCUGUGCAUUCCCUAUAGGCUGCCCGACAAUAGCGUGGAUAUCCUUGGUGUUGACCCCCGGAUUGUCCAGCCCAUUUCUUUGUGUCUGUGGUUGCUCUCCUGGAGUUAGAUCAACAUCCUUACAAUAAGGCGUGCCAUUCUGAUCAGCUUCCCUUCCUGCAUCUUCCAAUGGUGAAUAUGUUGACCUUUGCAUUAUUAACUCCUACACUGCCAUAUCCCUUAGAAGCUCCCUUUCCACGCAGCACAUAACUUCGCUCGUGUCUGCCUCAUCAUUCUGCAUAUGCAUCUGCACUUUGCUCGUCUGAUCUCCAGGGUGUAUCACUUGAAACUCAGUCCUCAACCUUUCCUGCUAAUUUGCUACACAUUCCUCAGGCCGGUGCACUAUUUCUCUACCGACAAAUGCUGGAUCAGAGUUUUCCUCCGCAGAACACACAUCCACAACGGUGAAUGGCACAACGAUUGUUCUUGUUUUAAUUUUCGGCUCAGUAGAGUGGCGUCCCAGGUAACAGGGCGGGGGUUUUGAAAAGUCCUGCACCGUUUGUUGUGCUUGGAUGCACAUCGGGUCUGCUUGCAUAUCUCUGUUGGCAAUCCUUUGUACAGCUGCAUACUCCAUCUCAGGGAAAGCAACAAUUGAUUUUCUUGGCUGCCCAUCUCCUGACCCCUGCCAGCCCUACUUCAGUAGCUGCUGCGUGCACAGUAGCACUUCGUCUUGCAUUGGGUCAGCUGCCUGCCUCUCAGCCACUGUGCCACCAUAGAAGCCCCUAUCAAUAGCAGCAGCAGGAAAAGGCAACAGUGCUUCCUUCCCAUCAGCAUUGAAUAGUGCUGGAGUAGUAGCAGCAGCUGCUCCAUGCUGUGGGGCCCUCGCACGCCUCUCCCUCCACUGUAGCUGAACCGGUGCAUGUCUUCUUCGUCGGUAGCCUCCAGCCAGACUACGUCGUUGACCGUUUCCCCCGCCACCUAGCACGUCCCUCCACGUCGCCUGCGGGAACUGACGGAACGGGCGACCGCCUCUCCUACUGCCCUCAGCACCUCCAUCAGCCGGCGGUGAACGGUCCCGGUGGCCUCCAAGGCGGUCACACACCGGAACACGCCCACCAUGAAUCGGCAACCGCUCCCCAUCUGGAACACCGGGGAUCCAUGAGAAGAAAUGGCGCAUCAGCCAUUCCUCCUCCAGGUCGUCGUCGGGGAUGCCACUAAUUGCACUCUCGUAACUGGCAUGAGACGGACUGCCCUGGAAAGGGGCAUAGUCCAGCACGCGCUCCAGAUGAAUCAGCACCUCGUAGUCCAGUGUGCGCGCAGCUUCAUGGCGAAGAAUUGGCAGCCCCGUGGGUCCGGUUCUUGCAUAAGGCUCUUCAAUCUUCAGAAUGGCUUUCUUGGGCAAUGCAUUAGGAUCUGCCAUCCAGACCCAGAGAUUGAAGCAAGAGCUCUCAACCUCCUUGAACACUUCAUAGUCCACAUCAUUAAUGAAAGAAGGUGGACAGAAAAGCUGUGUUACCGAAUCCACAUUCCAAGCAUGACUCAGAACACCUUCCAAGCACACUCUCGCAUGGUACCGAACUGAUCCAACAGUGUCACGCACCCGGUGGCUCCACGACAUCAGUCAGAGCUCGGUGCUACCUGCCAGGAUGAUGUGCAUGGCGAGAAUGGAAUUCCUCAGCUCCGGUGACCCGAAGCCAAGAAUGAAGGUUGCCGAGCCCAGAGCUUGCACCUCCAAUGCGCAGUCCGGGAUGUGAAGUUGCUGACGAACAUCCCGGGCCACCUGACUUGCUCCGAGGGGGACCCGUGCAUCAAUCUGCACACCGACGACAGCGUGCAGCUCGCGCUGGCUCUCGGCGUACCUGAUCUCCUGCGUGCGGGCCGCGCAAGCGACCACCAGCUGAGGACGAUGCUCCGGCGCGCCCAAAACGAACUCUGGGAAGUCCAUCUUCUUCUUGUCCGGCACCCUCUGCACGUGCUCCUUCCUUUUUUUCCUACUCUCCUCCCUCCUCGUGUUGUAGUACCGCUCCUUGUGACCAAACCGUAGUCACAACAAGCACUUGGCGGAGGGGGGGGGUCACGGCACUGCGCAAUCUGGUGGUUGGAGGCGAAGCAAUUGAAGCAGUGCCUCCCGGCUUUGGCCUUCAGCAGAGCUAAGAGGUUUCCCUCAGAUGUGUCAACUUGAAGGCGAUCCCACACCCCACCAGCUCUUGUCCUGCCCUCCUGAGUGCAUUUACUCUCACUUCCUAACUUGGACCAUACUAAUUUCCUGCUCCUGGUGUCCUUGCGCGGCAGGACAUCGUGCCAUUGAUGGCCUUUAGCUGCCGUGUUGCAGAGGCUGCGUGGCUUGUGAGCUUGGGUCUUCAGUAGUGCUUCCUUGUAGGACACGCGGUGCCUUGCCGGUUUAACUACAACAGAGCUUAGCGGAGCGCGUCGCACGACAUUGGCGUCGUGCUCCCUCUCAGUGUCAUCUCGCUUCAAUGGUAACGGGGAAACCUCAGGCCUCUUCGGUGAUGUGUCCCCAAACUCUGGGGAAGAGAAAAGAAGCAGGUCGAGCUCCUCCUCCUGGUUUGCGUGGGAAAGGUUGGUUGGUGGUGUGGCUGGUGAGCUGGGUUCGCGGGUGGUAGGAAGGUUUGCCGCCGGCGAGGAUGCCGUCGCCGGUGGGGUGGCGGAGGCAGGUGGUUGCGGGGAAGGGAACACCUCAGUGUCUCAUUUUGUCUGUGACUUUGAUUUGAUUUUCUCCGCUUGAGCAUGUUCUCACCUUCGAUUCUCUUGCCGAUCACAAAUACCCUAGUAAUCUAGGACUACCAGCUGAAAUUGCUAACAAUUAAUAUUAGAGAUCCAUGAAACAUGAGCAAUAAAAUUAGUUGACCAUCUAGCUUCUAGUGUGUUUACAAUCUUUGUACAUGUAAACAUUUGUCAAUGAUACAUGUUGGAAAAAAUUGAAAAUGCUAUGUACAUACCACAAUUUGAUAGCAUUUGAUGACCAGGCAACUAAAUUUAAUUCCGAAUACAUACAAUUAAGUUUAGUGGCCACAAUUUACACUUUUCAGAGUAUGAUAGCAAAACUGAAACAGUACAAUGGCUAUUCAUGUAUUUUACUCAAAUCUUACCACCUAGCAGAUAUGGCUUCAGGCGUGUGUAUGCACCUCUGCAGCCGGCCACAACGUACACGUUCCCAAAAAGAAAACUCCUUUUGAAACUCUUGCACACUGAACAUGCACACGCUUACAUAAAUUUUGAUACCACACAUCCGCCGACGGGGCCGUUGUGCAUCCAUCUUAGGCAACACAGAUUCAGUACAACACGUUGAGUUACAUAUUACAGUACCAAAGCAACAAAGCUAAAAUGGAACAGGAAAGAAACGGGCAACCUUUCCUAACACCAGAGCCAGACCGGAUGGUUUCAAUGGAGAAUUCCUUAAAAAAAACGUGGAACGUCAUUGGUCAGAACUUCUAUAAACUAGUACAAUGCUUCUUUGAUGGGGACUUAUGUUUGCAGAGUAUCAACUCCUCCUUCAUUGCAUUACUUCCGAAAAAGGAAAGCCCUCUAUAUGUUGGAGACUUUAGGCCGAUAUCCUUGCUCAACUCCACCAUCAAAUUACUAACAAAGCUCCUAGCACAGAGGCUGCAACAGGUCAUCAGGUCUCUUAUUCACAAAAAUCAAUAUGGCUUCAUCAAAACAAGGACCAUCCAAGAUUGCCUAGCAUGGGCUUUUAAAUUUUUGCAUAUAUGCAAAAAGUCGAAAAAACAACUAGUCGUCCUCAAGGUGGACUUUGAAAAAGCCUUUGACAAAAUUGAGCACAAAGCCAUACUAGAAAUCUUAAAGCACAAAGGGUUUGGCACCAGAUGGGUUAAGUGGAUCCAACAAAUUUUGUGCUCUGGGACAUCAUCAGUACUUCUGAAUGGGGUACCUGGGAAAGUUUUUCACUGCAAAAGAGGAUAUAGGCAGGGGGAUCCUCUAUCACCUCUACUCUUUGUACUAACGGCAGAUUUAUUACAGUCCAUUCUUAACCACAAGAAAGAGUUGGGGAAUCUGAAGCUACCUAUCGAGGAAGGGGCAGGAACAAACUUCCCAAUAGUUCAAUAUGCUGAUGAUACUCUUCUCUUCAUGGAAGCUUGUCCUAAUCAGUUAAGGGUUCUGAAAGAAGUCUUACACAUUUUUGCUCUGUCAACUGGCCUCAAAGUUAAUUACGCUAAGUCAGUGAUGAUGCCCAUCAAUAUUUCAGAGGCGAGGCUGCAAUUUCUGGCACAGUCUUUUGAGUGUCAACAAGGAUCUCUUCCAUUCACCUACCUUGGCCUACCACUUGGGUCAGUAAAACCAAAAAUUGAACACUUCAUGCCACUCAUUCAAAAAAUGGAAAAAAGGCUAAAAACGAUGUCUAUGUUUCUCAGUCAGGGAGGAAAACUUGAAAUGGUUAAUUCAGUAUUGUCUUCAUCUGCGGUGUUCUUCUGUUCAACUAUCAAACUACACAAGGGAGUCAUAUCUCAGAUAGACAAAUUUAGAAAACACUAUCUUUGGAGGGGGUCUGAUCAAAAUUCUAAGAAACCAUCAAAGGCAGCCUGGCAUAUGGUUUGUCACUCCAAGGAGAAUGGAGGGUUAGGUGUAAUAAACAUAGCUGCACAUAACGAAGUCAUGUUAUUGAAGUUUCUACACAAAUUCUACUCCAAAGAAGAUACACCAUGGGUGACGCUACUAUGGAACAAAUAUUAUUCAAAUGGAAAGCUACCAGGAGGAUAAGUUAGAGGUUCCUUUUGGUGGAAGGACAUAAUUAAACUACAAGACACAUACAAAGGAAUUGCUUCAGUUACAAUAGCAAAUGGUUCAACCGUUUUGUUUUGGAAAGACAUGUGGAAAGGAGCAAUUCCAGGGCAACUCUUCCCAGAACUGCUAUCUUUUGCAAAGGACACAAAUGCAACCCUCAAGGCAGUCAAAGAAAAACAAAGUCUCAUAGAAAACUUCAACACUCCCUUAUCAAUAGAGGCACAUACUCAGUUUUUGACCUUGCAACAAUGGACUUCGGACAUUCAUUUGGUGACACACAAUGAUACCUGGUCCUAUAUCUGGGGGUCACCUUCAUUCUCUACAAAGAGGGCCUACAAAUCAAUCAUGGGAACUAGAAAUGUCCACCAAACAUUCAGGUGGCUGUGGAGAUCAAAAUGUCAGAAAAAACACAAAAUCUUCUUUUGGUUACUGCUUUGGACAGGCUAAACACAAGAGAUAUCCUAAGAAGAAAACAGAUGGCCCUUGAUUCUUACCACUGCGAGCUCUGCAUCAGGCAAAAAAGAGAGACGGUAUAUCACUUAUUUUUCCACUGCAACUUUGCAAAAGCUUGUUGGAGAAGUAUUGGGAUUACAUAUGUACACACAAGGCCGAUCUUGAACAUAAUAGAGCAACUUAAAAGAAAAUUGGGAGUGUCAUUUUUUAUGGAGAUUAUAGUCUUGAUGGCGUGGAGCAUCUGGACAACAAGAAACAACUGGAUGUUUAACAAUAUUAUCCCCUCAGCUUGUCUUGCAAUCGGAAUUUCGCUUCGGAACUUAAAGACCUCCUGCUUAGGAUCAAACCAAGACAUCAACAUCUUUUGGAAGUCUGGAUUCAAUCCCUCUAGGCUUUUUUCCUUUUUAUUGUUUGUCUUUUCGCUUUUGGAAUUUCUCUUCUUUUUCCUUUUUUUUCUAUCUUCAGUUUUAUCCUUCUUUUAUUUUCCUUCUUUUAGGCCUCUCCUUUGUUUUCUUCUUGUUGGAAACUUGCUCCUUCAUUUUUUUGCUUUUUAUAUAUAUAUUUAAUCAGUAGGGGCACCGAACCCCUCCUGUCUUUUUUUUAAAAAAAACACCAGAGCCAGACGCUGCCCGGCAACAUACUAGUAGGUAGGUAGAAGUAGAACACACACCCACACAGAAGGAGCAGUACCCGGCGUCCGACCUCUCGCGAGCCAGGACGAGAGGUCUGCGAGCUACUACUACUUAGACCUCCCUCUAGUUUCCGGCGCCGACCUUGCGACCCGCACCGGCCGGCCGAGCCCUGGCGUUUCUGACGACGACGCCGUCCACAUCGGCCGUCGGGCUAGUGGCCGCGGCGGCGUAGUCCACGGCCGCCAUAUAGGGGCCCGCAGCGCAGCACUCGGGCUUGCCGUCGCAGCAGUCGAUGCGGCAGCACGGGGUCGGCAGGAUCUGGGCCUCGGCCGCGCCCAUCACCAGGAGCGCCAGCACCAGGGCGCCCACGAUGAUCUUGAAGCCCAUCUCCCGUGGCAACACGCACGCCGAGACUUGCCUAGGCUAGCUACUUGGUUGCGACUUCUUUGCAAGACGCGAACCCCGUGAACCGUGUGGUGCGCGAGAGCUAGCGCAGUAGCGCCGCUUCGUUUUGGAUGCGUGCUGCUGGUGUGUGCUCGGCUCCGUUCUUUGGGGCCGCCUAUUUGUAGCCUGAGAGCAGGGGCUGAGCAUGUGCACAGUGCACUGCAGGCCAAAAUGACUGGGGAGCGUGCAUUAACCUGCUUUCCGGAUCCCAGAGAUUUGGUGACCGUCUAUGAAAUCUCUGCUGAUUCAGUAGUGAAUUAGGACACAUCAACGCGUGCCAAGAAUGGCCGAGGGCAACGCAGAAACAGAUCAUCACCCAGGCCAGCAAAAUCGUCAAGCCUGUAAUCCACGAGUUAACAGCUUCUGCAUUGCAUUCCUCUUGGCAAGCAAAAUCUGAAGUUAAGAGUUGCCAUAUCUCUCCUUUUGGCUAGUAACAGCUGAGAUCUACAGCUGCCAGACCUAACUGGUGAUAUCUGAAAUUACGAGUUGCCAUAUACUGAGAAAUUCACUGUCAUCCCGUGAAACUUAGAAUGAUACUAGUAUGUCACAAGAUGCACCAAGUUAGGUAAAGAGUAAAGACCCCAAUAUUGAUUGAGGGUUCGGCUGGAGGAAUCAGCGGGCUGUUGCCAAAACUUUGCUCCAGCAACAAUGUUCACUGCCAGCAACCUGCAUGUUCUUCUGGGCCACGCUUGUUUGUCAGCACAAGCACAGGGUCAACAUUGGCAAGGCUCAGGACGAUUCUUUUCUUUCUGGGAAAUGCGACGAAAAAGAAGCCUAACCGUCUCGCUGGGUAACCCACAUGGGCUUGUCCUGCUCCUUGCAGCAAGGAGCCCUGCAUCUGGCUCUGGUGCACUGCAAGCUUACCGAUCACGAGCAUGGAGAUGGAGAUGGCUAACUGACGUCUGGCUCUUAGGCCGUUCACAUAGAAACAUGCAUGCCUCGCUCACAGUUUCCUGAAACAUGCAUCUGGUGGUACAGGUUGCCAAUAAAAUGUUUGACCAGGAAGUCUUCUGCGUCUGGUGGUACAGAUUGCCAACAAUAUGGCACGGUAAAAGUUUUGACCACGAAGUCCUUUGGCAGAGUUUCAGGAUAUCGUGAUUCAUGAGUUCCAGGAAGACCAAUGACUUGUAGGAGAGUUUACUCAACGAAGGUUGUCCCAAUAUACAAACGAAAUCAUUCACAUGUUACGUAUAUCAAGCGAAAAAGAAGUAUUUAGAAUGCGUUUCAUUCGUAGGCUUGUAACGAUUACAUCAGAGAGAACUUGAGAUAUAUUUCCAUUGUGCAAAACAUUUGGAGAGAUCUACCUCGCCCUCUACUGCUGUAAAAGUAGUAAUGUCCAAGGGAAAACCUAGAGCAGAAUUCAACGCAGAUAAACAUGAGGCUGAACACAACCUCAUAUAUGAACAGACUUGACAUUGACAACACUCCGGGAUUAUCACACAAUAGCCAGCUAAACCAUGCAUUCCUCCUUAGAUCAGUAUUUAAUUCCUUUCCUUAUAUGUGUGUUGCAUUGGGUGCGGCAGAAACCAAGACGCAGAUGCUGGAUUUCUGAUCUACCUCGGCACUGCCAGUGUGUUGCCGUACCCGUACCGGCCAGAGAUCAGUGCCCGCCCGCCAUGAGGGUGGCGUUGGACAAGCCUUUCGUCUUGGGGAGCAGGACGACUGCCAGGACCGCACAGAUCAGGGCGAAGGCAGCGCCGAUGCCGAAGGCCGGGGUGUUGCCCUUGUUGAAGGCGCCAUCGAUUGGGCCAGCGGUGAGCGCGAUCACCAGCUGAACACGAGGGCAACACGGGAUCAGUAAUGUUCUAUUGUGCUCAAAAGAGGCAAUAAUGCUUGAAGACAAGUCAAUGGUAAAGAAGGAAAUUUUACCUGCGGAAGGACUAUGGCGAUGUUGAGUACGCCAAUGGUGAGACCUUGGCCUCCACCCUCCUCGGAGGCAACCUCAGACGCAACGGCCCACGGGACACUGAACAGCACCUGCAAGCACACAAAACGAUUCGACCAGAACUACAGUAAGCACGCAGCACGAACGAACUCGGAUGAAACAGCAAUCAGAAACGCGCGUCAACUUACGGCCUGCGGGAUGCCGAUGAGUGCGAAGACGGCGAGCGCUAUGCCCCUGUACGUUUUGUCAGGACCAAUGAGGCUGGCGGUGAGGGAGGGAUUGUAGCCCUUCAUGGAGAUCAUGCCAAGGACGACCAUGACCGUCAUGAUUGCGAACACCAUCAGGUUGCUGAUCGACCAGACGACCCGGGACGUGAGCUUCCGGCAAAGCUUGGGGAUGAGGAAGGAUGUGACGCCAAGAGCGAUGGAGCAGAAGAGGAGGCCGACGGCGCCCUCGCGCACCCCGGCGUCGAAGGCGUCCGCCUUGCCGCCCGCGCCCUGCGGCUCGCCGUGGUAGAUCUCCCGGCCCAUCCAGUCGGUGUUGUACUGGAAGAAGGGGAACCACGAGAGCUGCGAGCCAACCCGUCGAGAGCGAUGUCAGGGUCAAAGAUUCCGCGUGCGAAGGAAAAGAUACGAUGUGCGGGUGGAUGAAUGGAUGUGCGUACGUACCCAGGUGACGGCCGUGACGGCGAGCACCUUGAACAUGGCAGGUGGCAGGUUCUUAAGGCUCUUGAAGAGAUCGGCGAACGCCGAGCACGCGCCGCCAGAGGAGACGUCGACGUCGUCCUUGGCAAGCUGCUCCUCGCCGGCGAGGGCCAAGGUAACCGACAUGCUGAUGAUAAUGAGGAUCUGAUCCAAAAAAAAGGAGACAAAAUUAAAACGCCAAAGAUCCAAGCACGUUGAGAAGAAGCAAUAACGAACACGCUACGAGACCGGAGGACGUGGAAUUCAGAAGUCAGAGCUCACCACGGCAGUCAAGAAGGCACCCUUGAGAUUUGCGCAGGCGUCGCAGCACGCCGCGGUCUUGAGCCACGGGAGCCACCUGAUCAGUCAACCAGCGUCAAGAACACAUCAGCAGCCGACGACCAGGGCAAACGCUUUGGGAAAAAAAAACAAACAAAAAUGAAUGUUUCUUUAUGAGAUGAAAUCAGGCGACGUACUCGUGCCACUUCGCGUUGGCACCGGACAAGUAGCCGAGGACGCUGCCGAGAGCCAUCCACAAGGAGAAGAUCGCCUGGCCAACGUUGGGACCAUGCUGUCCAGCUGCAGGAAACAACAGUUGCAACAUUAGCAUCACUAAUUUUUGUCAUCCGUGCUCAUGCUUCAUGUUAGCGUGAUCAGGUUCAAAUAUAAGAACACGAUCGAAGGAAUUGCUCACCGGAAAGGUCUGCCAUCAUCGCGCGAGCCGGUCCCUGAAAUGACAAGAUUCGCAAAAUGGUUCAGGCUCAUCUCUGUAAAAUUCAGAAGGAUUUGCAUACGUGCUUGGAAGAGUGAACAGACGUACCUGGACGGUGUUGUUGGCGAAGUCGAGGAACCAGAAGCCGACGAUGUAGACGGCGGCGGCGGACCAGCGGGAGCCUUUGAACGUGCUGCAGUGCUCCUUGGUGUCGCCGAGGUGGCGUCCGAUGUCCGCCGAGAAGCCGAUCAUCAAGACCUGGCCAGAGCACCAGCGUCAUCAGUCAGUUAAAAAAGGAUCCGAGGAAAUCGCUACUGCCUGUAGAAAGCCAACAAGGAAUCGCCUUGGAAAAGACCGGCGUGAUGUGUGCGCUUACAGAGAGGCAGAUGAUGAUGCAUCCGGCAAGGACGAAGGGCCGCCGCCGGCCAAUCUUCGCCGUGCAUCGGUCGCUGUAGUAGCCGACGAUGGGUUGCACCUGCCAGCAGAAUCAAUGAGCCCAUUAAUCCCGGGGAUGGGAGAAAAAGCAAGGAGAUGACUGGACGCACGAUAACGGAUCCCUUGGUAAUUUAUCUCUAUCCUAUCUUAUCCUUCCGAAAUAUACCUUCCGGUAAAAACUCGGCAAUCAAUGCUACUCCAUAAAGAUGGAAAUAAAAUCGUACGUGAGCCGUUUCAUACUAGCGCGAUAUUUCGAGAGGAUUAAGAAAGAUAAUUUUUUUGCAUUUAUCCGAAUAAACGAUAAGAUCAAAAUCGUAAAAGAAAAUGCAUUUACCACAAAUCCGGCGAUAGGCCCGCAGAUCCAUGUCAGCGAGACGUAGCUGUGGGAGAUCCCAAGAGUCUGCAGCGCGCAACAAAGAUAGAUGAAAACAAUGCCUACUCAAAUCAAGUAGACAAAAGAAAACAAAGCACACACAGGAGAAUACGAAGAGAUCGACGACAAGUAGCAGAUGAUAUCUCAUUCUCACCUGGGAGUACGGUGAGAGGAGGGAGAGCUGUAGCGCCCAGCCGUACUGGAUGCCGCCGGAGACCAUGCACGCCAGGAAGAGCCGGAAGAUGCUCAUCGGCGGCUUCCGGCUCGCAUUGCCGUCGCCCUUCUCGCCGGCGACGCCGCCGCCGCUCUCGAGGUUCAUGGUCGCCCAGUCGAGGCGCUUGUUGGCGGCCUCCUUGCCGUCACCCUCCAUGGCUGCCGCGGCGCGACGGGCCGAGGAGGAGGAGGUGGAACGAGUACGCGGAUUGGUCGCAGGGAAGAAGGGAGAGCGAUAGGGACAGGCAAAUGAUCACGGGAUGAGGUGGGAAGGGAGGGCCGGGGGGCGGGGGGUUUUAAAGGCCGGGAGCGGGGGCGGGGGGUGGCCGGCGUCGGGUGGUUUAUGGCGAAUGGCCCGCCGGCAGGGAGACAGCACGCCGGAUGGUUUUAUCCGUUUCGGAAGGUUAUCCCGUCCUUAAUCUGUUUCUUGGUAAGGGUUUUUGCCAAGCUGGAAAAGGAUAGGGGCUAUAUCAAUGAAGUGGAUUAUUGUUGCCUUGUAUAGCCAGCAAUUUCACAUAUGCCAGCUAAUCGUCACUGUGGGAGUUGGUUUUGGGACUUUUUUUCCCCCUA
Molecule: long non-coding RNA, 49556 nt
Filed under: Setaria viridis
Lineage: Eukaryota; Viridiplantae; Streptophyta; Magnoliopsida; Poales; Poaceae
Description: long non-coding RNA (SVIR_LNC000952)
Source: RNAcentral